AAGAAAUGAUAAGGGGACAGCUCACAACGGCUACUUUCUCUUUUAUUCAAGCUGUACAACGUCUAUAAUUCACUCCACGACGCCUGUCGGACUCCAGAACUUUCUACCUAGUCCCGGGUCCCACCUCCAACGUUCCGAAAUAGUACAACGUUACACAUUCAUCACGCCACGCCUAUAAAUACCGCUCUUUGCUAACACUUCUUCUCAUACCCAAAUACAUCUCACAUUAUAACCUCUCUCUCUCCCCUGCAUUUUCUCUCUCUACAAAUUGUAAUUUAUAUAUAGCAGCAAUGGCGUUCUCCAAGGCUAUCAUCUUUUUCUUCGUCUUCGUGGUCGCUUGCAUGACUGCCGCUGCUGGACAAGAGCUUGAUCUCGCUCCGGCGCCGGCGCCGUCGAUGGACUCUGCAGCUUCUUACCCUGCUGCCGGAGCUGCGGUGGCUUUUGUUUCCAUGUUCGUUGCUCUUUUGUGGCACUAGACGGAGAAAAACAGAAUAUAUUAUAUAAACCUAUAAUAAUAAUAAUAUAUUAUUAGUAGAUUUAAGUGAUGGUUUACUUACUACAAGAGAGAUGUGUUGUGAUGUGGUGAGAUGAGAUCUUGCAUUUGUUAUUCUUUAGGGUCCUAAUUUCGAAUUGGGGCUCUUUUCUUAUCUAUUCGUUUGUUUUUUCACUACAUUUCAUGGUGUUGUGGAUUAUAUUCAGUUUAUUUGAUUUCACUGCUCUUUCAAUGGAUGAUUUUAUAUGUAUGCCUCGACUUUAUUCAGUUCUCGACCAAACUGGUCUCGGAUUUAUUUUGAAUCUAAACUUUGAAAUAUAACAGCAUGUAUACUUAAAAGUGGGCGGCCGCUAACAAAAAAGGAGAAAGAUUUAUAUGGACAUUUAAAAUUUAAACUAAAGCGAAAUUCCCUUUUCAGAUUAGUAUACUUUAUAAGCUUGACUCGAUUAAUUUACUGAUCGGAAAUUAUAGGUUAUCUUUUUAUAAUAUUAAUAAAAUUAAUAAAAUAACAUAUACAUGCAUUAUUUUGACUUGUAAUAAUAUCAUUAAAAUAAUUAAAAUUAAUAUUUAGAAGUUUUUAUUGAAUCUUUUUAUUGUAUCAAAUCUUACAUGUCGUUUCAUUUGAAGGUGAAAUUUUGAUUAUAAUUUUUUAAUGUACUUAAAAGAGUUCCAUUUAUCUUAUGAUAAUAUUUUUAAGAGGAAUUCCAAAAUUUUAUAGUUUUAUGAUAUAUUCGAGAGGAGUUCCCCGCUUUCACAAUCUAAUGUAUUUUUCACAUUUUCUUAAUCUUAUAAUAUUUUUUUAUGAAUUCGAAAUUCAAGCCAUUUUGAUACCUUUUAGCUCUUUUAAAUAAUACAGGCACGCUUUUUCAAAAUUUGCAACGACUACUUUUCUCUUAAAACUCAACCCCAUGAUUUUCCUUAUUUUAAAGCUCAACUAUUAUUGAAAAUCAAUUUAUUUUGCUGUAAUAUAGUUGGAACUCCACCUUGUAUUUCUUUUUCCAAGCCAUUUAAAGUGUAAUAAUAAUUAUAUUUUGUUUUUAUUUAAGAAAAAAAUUAUAUAUUAUUUAAAUGAUAUAUUUUCAUCAGUCCAUUUAAAUUAUAUAUUUUGUUUUUACAACAUAAUUUUUUGUGAUCAAAUUAUCGAUCGUUAUUAACUUAAAUUCGAUUGGAAUUGGACAAUGAAUACCAAUCGAUCAGAUGACCCUAAUCGUCAUCAGUCACAUCGAUCGUUAUUGGCAUUGACAAGAGGAAAAACCCUUCUCCAUGUAGGUUGGCCCAUAUUAGUGUCAUAUGACCACCACGUGUCUUCAGUCACAUCGAUCGUUAUUGGCAUUGACAAGAGGAAAAACCCUUCUCCAUGUAGGUUGGCCCAUAUUACUGUCAUAUGGCCACCACGUGUACGCGACUAUGCUGACAUGUCAGUAUGGGUCCAAGUCACGUGGCAGAUGAAGCAGUUUUACAUUUUCUCAAGAAUUAUAACCACUAUAACACCGCAUAUUCAGUCAUAAUUGGGUCGGUCGGUUCGCAGAGCCGUUAUGGACUAGCGACUACUUGUGUUUAACAGGCGUGACCGAUAUAUUAUGAUUGACUAAUUAUGAAGAUGGUCGUAAUUUUAUUUUAUUUUUGGUCAGGAUCUACAUACUCGUAGAUAAAUUGUAUCUCGAGAUACAAUAACCACUACAAGGGAUUUCAUUCAUAUAAAAAAAGAUUACCAUUUAACCGAAACACAUGCAAAGAUAUCUCCGGACGUUUAGAUAAUAAUACUUUAAUGUCUGAGAGGAAAAACCUAUAUAAAUCUCUACCAAGAGUCCUGCAAAAAACAAACGAAAUAAGAAGAAACAUAAGUUCAUAUAUAAAAAUAUAUACAUUACAAAAAUUAUAAAAGAUAAUAUAUCCAAAAAUAAAUUAUUUCUAAGGGUGUGUGUGUGUGUAUUUACUAAAGUAAAAAAUUAAAUAAAAGUCUCAACCAAAGAAGGAUUUUUGGUUAGACAUUAAAAUAACUAAAAAUUAGUUAAUUGCUUCUUACAAGCCGAAAUAUACGCCGUCAUUUAUGGCCACCAUGAAUGAUACAAAUUCACCUCAAUCAAGGCACAAUUAACAUUUAAACCGAUUAAAGUCAACAAUAAAGACCACAAGAAAUUGUACUAAAUAUUCAUAAAAAAUAUCUAUCUAAAAUUAGAACAAGAUAUAUUGAAAAAUUUAAUCAUUUCUAAUUUAAAAAUUAUUGCACAUUAAUACACAUACACAUAUCUUAUAUAAAAACAAUAUCAUAAUUAAAAAUAAAUUGAUAUUGAAAUCAUAACAAAUUUAUCAUCAACAAAACAGGCACCUAAAAACAAGUUAAAAAACUUAAAACUUUUAAAUUAGAAGAUCAAAACACACACUAAACAUACCCACACAAUCAAGAACACCAAGAACACAUAUCAAAAUCUACAAGAAACCUAAUUUCAAAAUAAUAUUCCGGCCAACUAAAACAAAUUUGGCCAAGACAAAACAUGUCGGAAAGGUUACGAAACUCGACCUGAUCUACAAACUAAUCCAAACAAAAUUUCCAAAACCAGAUACAUAUCCAUGAUUUCGAUCAUCUAAAAACUAUGAAACCUUAAAAUUAGAAAAGGAAAAACACAAAAAGAUUACUAUGAUACAGAUAUGCUAUCAUAAAAUAUACAAUAUAAAUAAUACAAACAACAAAACACACGAUAAACAUUUAUUUUUGAUUACAACAAGAUAUUCGAGAAAGAAGCGUAUCUUUUCAAGGAGAUGUGAUACCUUGAUUACAUAUAAAAUUGAGAAAAUACCUUACCGAAUCCAAAAAUAAAGUUCAUAAAAUCACCAUCAACAAAAUCACUUUUUGGAUCGAUCAAGACCUAAUCUAACUGUUGUAAUUAUCUAUUUUGGAAUGAUCAAAUUAGUCUGGCUAGGAGGGGUGAGUCGAUUAGCCGACUCUCUUUCAUUGCACAUCUUCCCAACACACUCACUCUCUUGUUGUAAUUAAGAUGAUGGUCGUAAUUAUCUAUAAAUGUAAUCAUCCUUUUUUUUAUCAAUUUCAAUCAUUUUUAUGGGUAAAUAAUGAUUAGUUCCUGUUGUUAUUUUUGCAGCUGGGUCGUUAUUAAACUCUAUUUUUUACUACUGCCAUUGCAGGACCUAUCAGUUUCCACCAUUAACAAAUUAUCAAAACUAAUAUUUGUAGCAAAUCAAUAACAUCCAAACCAACAAUCAUCACAAACAUCUUAAUGUAAACUAACAACCAUCACAAUAUCUUAAUCUAAUAACCAUUACCAAUAAAUUAAAAAAAACGAUCAAAUUAUCACAAAUACUAACAAUCUAACUAAAUUAUGUGUCAAUUGAUCAAUCAGCUAUAGUCUAAAUUAAAAAAAUACUCCCUCUAUCCCCAUUUUCAUGUUCAUUUUGAAAAAAAAAAACACAUAUCAGGGAAUAAUUGUUUCUAUAAACUUUUUUCUUGACAUACCUCUAAUUGAUGUCUUGAAAAUGAUAGUACCCAUAAUUAAUGACUUGAAAACGUGAAUUCAACUAAGUUUUAAAUAAGUCAAACCUUAGAAAUUAUGGGGAUAAAUUUGAAAAACUAUCUUUAAUUUUUUUGUUUUCAGUAAAUGAAUAUGUAAAUAGGAACAAAAUUUAUUUUGAAAAUGAACAUAUAAAAGGGACGUAGAGAGUACAUUCUAAGAGCAACUUCAACCAUAAAAAACCCUUAACUAAAUGAAUUGGCUACGAAAAAUAAAAAACUAUGAAUAGUCUUCUCAGGAUAUUACUUUGUAACCAUACAAUUUCCUUAUCUACAAUUUUAGCAAAACCUUUUGGAUAACUUUAUUUGUCGAAUUAUAUAACAAAUGCCGCCUCAUCGAUUAUUAUAUUAAAACAAUAACAUUUUAUUUAUAAAGUACUAGUUCUAAAAUACAUUCAAUCAAUAUAAUCAUUACCAUCAAAGAAAAAUGUCUUCUCGCACAAAUUUUACAUAAAUAUUACAAGUCCAUUUUAGAUGCUCUAACUUGAUUAUUUAUAUUGCAAUAUGUAUUACUCCCUCCGUCCCAGCAGGAAGUUUACGUUCACUGUUUGCACGCAUUUUGAGGCUCUUAUAAAGUAUAGUUCAAUAACCUUUUUUUAAAUUAUUUUUUUUUGAAUAAUAGUUUAAACGUCAAACUUUUUUUCAGGAUUUUUUUUCAAAAAAACACAUUAUAGAACUAUAUUUUAUUGGAGUCUCAAAAUGCGUGCCGAAAAGUAACGUAAAGAACCUGGUGGGACGGAGGGAGUACAUGACUAAAAAAUUAAAAAUUAUUUAUAAAAGCAGUGUUUUUUGAGUAAAUUAAUAAAAGCAGCUAAACAAAUAUUUUGUUGACGGCGGAUUUAAACCACAUUAUUCUUUUAAUAAAUUUCGGUAGGCAACAGCACAAUUACUACAGUUUCAAAUAGACUCAAAAUUACCCUAAUAAUCCAAUUAAAACUCCCGAACUCUCUCCGAGUCAAAUUCUCUUCAUUUGAUUCACAGAUGUGGACUUAGACAAAGGUAAUAAGCUCAACGCUUUGCGUAUCAUCCAGUCUUUUCCUUGUAAUUUUGUGAUUUGUAAUCUGUUGUAUUUGUUCAUUUCUAUACUUUCAGUGUCAUCUUAGGCUGUGUUUAAGUUUUUACUUGAAGAAAGGACAAUAAAGAUUGAAGCUUUCUAGUUCUUCUUGUAUUGUUUCUUGCUUUGUAUGUGCAUCUAUUGUUUUUAGGGUAUUUAAAGUUCUGGGUAGGUGUUGGAUUUGAGUGAUCAUGCUUUGUUGUUGAAUUUAAUUGAAUUUGACCCAAAUUAGCUGAUUGGUCUGUUGUGCAUAUACCAAAUUUAACAUAGUGGUUGAUUCUUGCUUUUUGAAUACGGUUAAAUUAGAGAGGUGUUAUGUGUUUUGUUGUUUAUUGAUAUAUAGAAUAGAGCAUUUAUUGGAUCGGAUAAAUACUUGUUUUCAAUGUAUUGAAUAGAGCAUUUGUGGGAUUCUGGAUUGGAACUUAUUGUCGGGUAAUGGAUAAUACUUCUGUUGGUAGUGGGUUCUUGCUGGGUCCGAGUGUAGGUUUUAUUGACCUUGAGUCUCCGGUUCAGCAGCGUCAGCAGUCUCAGUUGGGUCAGUCGUCGACUCAACAUCAAAUGCCGUCUACUAUGAAUAUGUUAGGAGGCAAUGACGAUGAUCGGUCGAUUAGAUUCAUGGAUGGGAAAGGUCUCAACCCCAAGAGUUUCUCAAUGAGUUUUGGAAGAGGCAAUGUUGCAUGUGUUAAUGCUGUGAAUCAUCACAGUGUGAGUGAGGAGGAUGAGCCGAAUUUUGAGGAUGGGAAUGGAGAGAAUUCUAGUGGGGCCAAGGGAAAAAAGGGGUCGCCGUGGCAGCGAAUGAAAUGGACGGAUAUGAUUGUGAGGCUUUUGAUACAAGUGGUUGCUUGUGUUGGUGAUGAUGGCAGUCUGGAUGGUUUUAAGGGGACGAAAAGGAGCUCUGGUAUGUUACAAAAGAAGGGGAAAUGGAAAACUGUUUCGAAGAUAAUGAUAAGUAAAGGGUGUUAUGUUUCACCUCAGCAGUGUGAAGAUAAGUUUAAUGAUUUGAACAAGAGAUACAAGAGAUUGAAUGACAUUCUUGGAAGGGGAAUGUCUUGUAGAGUGGUAGAAACCCCUUCUCUUAUGGACUCAAUGCCACAACUCUCUAGUAAGAUGAAGGAGGAUGUCAAGAAAAUCUUAAGCUCAAAGCAUUUGUUUUACCAGGAAAUGUGUGCUUACCAUAAUGGACAACCGAUACCCAACUGUGCUGAACUUGAUUUGCAAACUCAUUCUUUACCGAAUGUUCAAUGUUCAAAAGAGAAUAAUGUUUCAGAGGCAGAAGCUGAAGAAGAUUCUGAAGAUGAUGAUGGUGACUCUGACAGUGAAAACGAUAAUCCUGCUGAUCAAGAUUUUGAGACAUUUGGUAGAGCAAAUGCACAUGAAGAUGGAUUCCAAGCUGAGGUAGCUAGAUUUUUUGAAGACCCGACAAAGUCAAAAUGGGAACAAACAGUGUGGGCCAAAAAGAAAAUGCUGGAACUACAAGACCAGCGAGUUAGCAUCCAAGCUGAGUCUUUUGAGCUGCAGAAACGACGCUUCAAGUGGGAGAGGUUUUGUGAGAAAAAGAACACGGAGUUGGAGAUUUCAAAGUUAGAGAAUGAGAGGAUGUUGUUGGAGAAUGAACGAAUGGCAAUGCAGCUGAAGCAUAAAGUAGUGGAGAUGGACUCAGGAAAUCAAGGACCGUCAGUCAAUCAGAUACAUAACCCCAACAGACAACAAGUAAAAAAUCAGAUUGAUUUAGGCAGACAUUUAUAGUUUUAUGAAGUUGCUUAUGUUCUUUUAUUUUAUAUAUAAUAACAUCCUUAUUUGUAUCCUGGGAAAAAACUACCAAGGUGUGCAGUAGCAUAUGAAGUGCAUCAAAUCCCAAGAUUCACAUUCAGUGUACUAGAGUUCAUUAGACUGUGUGUAUUCAUCUUGUUGAGAGUUCUCUCGUGUAAAAUUUAGCAAGAUUGAUUAUCAUGUUUUUUUUUAAAAAAAUUCUAUUGCAUUUUGGCAUUUAAAGGAUCAUAGUCAGAAAUCCAUAAAAUGAAUUAAAUGAUGCCUGUGCCUUUUGGUGAAUAUUUGGUUUGAGUUUAAGACAUUUUGAUACACAAAAACAUGUUACCAUUGACUAUGAAUAAUGCAUGAUGCACCUCUCAGCAACUCUCUAUCCUUUGUUGCUUUUAAAUAUUCAGCAUUUAUGAUCACUGAUGUGCAAGUAUUUGGAGUCCAUCUUUGCACCCAGUUUGGAAGAUAUAUAAGUACUCUAGCAGGGUUCCAGUACUCUGUUAGUGGCCUUCUCAGGACUUUAGGAUUUACAUAUAGAGCUAAUAUUCCUUCUGGUUCUUAAUUCUAUAUUUCGGAGUUAAAUUGUCCUCUUCAUUCUGAUUCAAAUAUUUAGAAAUCUUUCUUCAGUUAUGUUUGAUCGCAGUAAACUUGUGAAAGCACAGGACUCCAUUUUUCUGCCGAAUGUGUAAAUUACAGUUGGAUCAUUGUGUUCAUAUUCAAUUUCUCGUCACUGCUGUGUACUUUUCUAAAUGUUCAAUACUCUGCAAGAGUGUAUUUAUAUGAAAAGAAGUAACUUCAUUCUGUGGCUUAAACUUGAAUCAUUCUUGAGGUAACCAAAUUUUAGCAUGCCCCCCCUCAGGAAUUUGUGGGCAAGAUAUAAAAACAUAUUCUAUAUAUUAGAAUUUAGAGAAUUUGGGGGCACUGGCCACUCUGUACUCCAUUGGGCUGGCUGGCUUUACAUGCUUGCAGCUAGUCACCUUUGAAAGAACUUUCAGGCUUGUAUUAAUAUAUGAAUGAAACUAUUUUUUUAUACUUUGAUGUAAAGCUAUUCUUCUAACAGAAGAGUCGUGUCAAAUUUUAUCACGCUCUAGCCACCUAGUUAUUGAAUUUUCUAGUUGUAUAUUUUAUAAUGCCCGUAUAACCUAUCUUUGCAUAGGUGUAAUCUACAUGCACGUUUGCUUGAUCUAAAAAAAAAAUGUUUAUUCGAAUUUAUAUAUAAGUGAAAAAUAAUUUUUAAAUUAUGCGCUUGAAUAAUUUUUAUUUGAUAUUUAUAAUUUUCGGGUAUAAAAAUUAGAAAUAUAAUAAUAAAAUAUCAUAGAUUAUUUUAAAAUGAUCCUUCACAUGUUUAUAAAAUUAAAAUUUUUUAAAAUAAAAAACAUCGCUAAAAAAGGUAGGAUUUUCAAGUUUUUAGACUCUAACUUAUAAGUUGGAAGCACAUGUAUAUGAAUAAACUGUUUCCGACUUAGAAAAUCCAGACCGAGUGAAAUACCAAAUAUAUACAAUAUUAAUUGAUUUUUCAAAAACUUUCAUACUUUUCUUGUAAAAAAGAAAGUGAAGGUAUUACUAAAUUUACUUUAUGACACGUGAUAUACCGUGUCCAUACAGUUAAAUUACCUAAGGUCGAAAUUAUUUUUACAAAUAUAUACUACAUCUUUUUUAAAUAUUUUACAAAAACAUCAAACUUUUGAAAAUAUUUGUAAAAAUAUUGUAUGCAACUUUUUGCAACGACAUGCAAUCAUACUUGUAACCAGAUGCAACCAUAUUCGCAAUCAGGUGCGGGACCAAUUAACUGAAGUUGAAGUUGCAUCUGGUGGCAUAUAGUUGCAAACUGUAUUUUUGCAAAUAUUUUCAAAAAAGUUAGUAUUUUUGCAAUUUUUCUCAAAAGAUACUAGAUCGCAAAAAAAUUAGAAGAAGUGACAUUUUUGAUAAAUUCCCUUCAAAGUAUUAUUUAAAUGUUUAUAAAUAAAAUCAUUAUUUUUUAUUUAUAAUUUCCUUUUUUAAAAUGACAUUUCUGAUGCGAUCAAAAUGUGUAAUUUUAAGGAGAAAUAAGACCAAAUCGAAACUUCUAGACAUCCACAAAUUUAGGCACCUGCCAAAAGAAAAUUCAAAAACAAACACUGGUCAAACAAAAGUCAAACCUAAUCCGACGGCUGAAACAGAAAGAAGCCCAAAGUCAUAAGCCAGCUCCGAGAAACAGUGAAUCCAACCCAACCCAGCCCCUACAAAUAUCCCUAAAGCUCGGCCCAUUUAUAUCACCCCAUUACUCGUAUAUAAAUAGCUCCACACAUUUUGGCCUCUGCUAACCCUGAUUUGCCUUCUCUUUCUCUCUCAUUUCGGCUCUCUCUCGGCUGCGUGCUUCUCGAGGCAGAAGGUAUACUUACAGAAACAUUAACUUUGUAUCUAUACAGUCUUGUUCUUCUUCUCCGAUUUCAUCGCUAAAUGUCUUGUUUAUGCUCUUUUUGUUUUCAUUUUUCGAUUAAUUGUAUGUGCUGUGUUGAUGUGAUGAAGCGUAUAGUGUAGAUCUGUGUUUGUUUGAUGUAAAUUAUGUGUUUUCUUGUCAGAUCGUAUCGGUUUUUACUGUUGAUCUGAAUUGUUUGUGUUUAGGCUGAAUUAUUUGUAUUUGAUUUGUGAUCUUGUGCUGAUGUUUGGCUAGAGAUUUGUUAUUUUAUGUAUUGACAUGUUUUAUUGAAGUUUAUAUUUGAACAAGAAAUGAAAUCUGUUGUAUAGAGUUGUGAUGUGUGUUUUUAGCGAAGUCUAUGAGCAAUGUUUAGUUUCGGGAUUAGAUCUAUAUGUAUUUCAUUUGAAUCUGACUUUUUUAGUCCGAAUAGCUGCCAUGUUUUGGAAUACCUGAAUUAUUGUGUAUGUUGACUGUAGGAGUGCCUCUCAUAUCUUUGUUAUUUUCCAGUCUAAACUUUCACUUGUGUUUGAAUUUUUAAAAAGAAUUUCACGUACUUGAAGAUAUAAUGUUAGUUCAAGAUACUGCUUUAUCAAUUUCGGAGUCAUGAUUUUGCAAAUUUAUUAAAAAAAAAUUGCUGGUAUGUAUAUAUUUUUUAUGGUGACUGCCAGGCUGCCACUCAUCUGUUUCCAUUGUAUGUAAAGGACAAUUGUGUAUGCUUUUCAAUUUUUGUUUAUGGGUAUUUAUCUUGUUUAGAGGAAGAAGUGAUGCUCCUAUUUUUAAUAUUUUUUGUUCUUUUUGUUGUUGUAUUACUGAAUGUGUAUUGUUGUCACUCUAAAUUUAGGUACUGUCAUCACUCAUCAGUUUAGUGUUUACAUGUUUGUAGUGCAUCUUUUUUUCAGUAGUCCCUGUUUUCUUUUAAUUUAUCUGUUUUUUGUUUUUAUCCUUCUAUGAAACUUGCAUGAAUAUUUUUGUUCUACUUCGACACACACACAUAUGAACGUAAUUGUUUUAAUAUGACUCAUUUGGUUUGCUAUAUGCAGGAAUUCAUUUUCUUGAAGUGAUGGCUGAUCAGAAGCACUUCCCAACUGUUGCUCACAAGUUGGCUGGACAGUUCCAUGUUAGUUCCAGCCUAUCACAAGAUGUUAGGAGCCGCUAUGGAGCACCUGCACAGCGAACCCAGUUUGCCUAUGGAAACUACACAAAUGCAGGAUUUCAAUACCCCCAGACAUGUGUAUCCAGGGAUCUAAUUGCUGCCAACGCUUCACCUAUCUUUGUUCAAGCUCCUGCUGAGAAAGGGCUUGCAGGUUUUGCCAUUGAUUUUCUCAUGGGUGGUGUCUCAGCUGCAGUGUCCAAGACUGCUGCUGCUCCCAUUGAGCGUGUGAAACUUCUUAUUCAGAACCAAGAUGAGAUGCUCAAGACUGGUCGUCUUUCUGAACCAUACAAAGGUAUUGGUGAAUGUUUCAGUAGAACAAUCAAGGAAGAAGGUUUUGGAUCUCUAUGGAGAGGAAACACUGCCAAUGUUAUCCGUUACUUCCCCACUCAGGUUUUUCUUCAUUUUGUCUUUGUAACUUUUUGUGAACAUUUUGAUCCACAAUUUGCUGUUUCUUUUAAUUUAGAAACAUUGGUAAUGAUUGUUCUUUUCUGUAGGCUUUGAACUUUGCGUUCAAAGAUUACUUUAAGAGCCUAUUCAAUUUCAAGAAGGACCGUGAUGGUUACUGGAAAUGGUUUGCUGGAAACCUGGGAUCAGGUGGUGCUGCUGGUGCAUCUUCCCUACUCUUUGUUUACUCCUUGGAUUAUGCUAGAACUCGUCUUGCAAAUGAUGCCAAGGCAGCAAAGAAGGGUGGAGAGAGACAGUUCAAUGGAUUGGUUGAUGUUUACAAGAAGACUCUUGCUUCAGAUGGUAUUGCUGGGCUCUACCGUGGAUUCAACAUUUCUUGUGUUGGUAUCAUUGUGUACCGUGGUUUGUACUUUGGAAUGUAUGACUCCUUGAAACCAGUUCUUCUCACUGGAAAGUUGCAGGUCAGUGUAUAUCCUUAAUUGUUUGUUGCCAUGGAUGUACUUCCCAAUUCAUAACCCUUAUAAUAUGUUUUUCUCAUGGUAGUUGGAAUAUUAAUUAUUUGCUUAUUUUUGCCUAGUAAGCUACAUAUAUGACUUUUUUACUGACAUGCACUUCUGUAUCCUAUAUGGGCAUUCAGGAUAGUUUCUUUGCUAGUUUUGCACUCGGUUGGGUGAUCACAAAUGGUGCUGGACUUGCCUCCUACCCCAUUGACACUGUCCGUAGAAGAAUGAUGAUGACAUCUGGUGAAGCUGUGAAGUACAAGAGUUCCCUAGAUGCAUUCACCCAGAUUUUGAAGAAUGAGGGUGCUAAAUCUCUGUUCAAGGGUGCUGGUGCUAACAUUCUCCGUGCAGUUGCUGGUGCUGGUGUGCUUGCAGGGUACGACAAGCUACAGGUCAUUGUGUUCGGCAAGAAAUUCGGAUCAGGUGGAGCCUAAACUGGAGGAUUUGUUCUCCCUUUUUUAUUUUAUUGUAGCCGUAGAUGGUGAUGAAAAUCUUUUCCUUUUCAAAGUCUGAAUUAAGAACAUGCAAACAGAGCAUUAAUAUUCAAAUAACUAGACUUGGUGUCUAGUUUUAAACAUGACCCUUAUCACUGGGUAUUUUUGUUACACAAACCUGAUAACUGCGGAAGCUAUUUUGAGCUCAAGUGUUCCGAAAUUUAUUUAUAGUAGUUUGAAAGUCCUAUCUUAUGUUUUGUUAUUUGUUGUCUUGGUUUAAUUUUUUCUGCUCCGUGAUUUUCUAGUCGUUCUAUCUUUUCUUGAAUUGCGUUGUAGCUCUGCUUGUUGCUCUAGUUUAUGAUUUAUUUAAAGAAAAAUCAGGAUCAGAGAUGGACCUUUUGUAUAAAAUGAUAUUUUCUAAUUAUAAAUUUCAUCGAACUUUUCUAUCACUGUUUUUUGUAAAUUGUUUUAUUGAAUCACUUUAGUUUAUUUUUUGAAUUUUUAUAUUAUCUUAUGUUUAGUUUGAAAGUCCUAUCUUAUCUUUGGUUAUUUGUUUUCUUGUUUUAAUUUUUUCUGCUCCAUGAUUUUCUUGUGGUUCUAUUUCUUUUUGAAUUCCGUCUGUAGUUCUGCUUGUUGCUCUAGUAUAUAUAUUUAAAAAAAAUCAGGAUUAGAGAUAGAACUUUUGUAUAAAAUUAUAUUUUCUAAUUAUAAAUUUCAUCAAGAUAAAAAAUACUUUUCUAUCAUUGUUUUUUUGUCAAUUGUUUUGUUGAAUCACUUUAGUUUAUUUUUUGAAUUUUUAUAUUAUCUUUGUGAAUUCUUUUAAUCAAAUUAUGUAAUAUUGUUGAAUUCAUAUCUAUUAUUUUGACCAGUGUUGUACAAAUUGAGAAUAGGACAUAAUCAUAUGAGUAAUAAAAUAAAGAUUAAUGAAUAAUUAAUUGGAUAAUUAUGUAAAUAAUUUGAUUAAAAGUCAGUUUAGUGAACUAUGGAACAUUAAUUAAUGAUUAAUUAGAUUGAGCGGGAUUAAUUGGAUGAUUAUGUAAAUAAUUGUAUCAAAAAUCAAUUCAGUGAACUACGAAACAUGGAUUAAGUGGUGAUUAAUUAUGAUUAUUCAUUGAUUUUUUAAACAGAGAUUUUGACUAUGAAAAUGUAAUAUAAGUAAAUGUUAAUAAAUUUACUUAUAAAAAUAUGACGAGUAUUAGUAUGUAAAAAAUUAAUUAUAGUUUUUUAUUAAGAAAGUAUAAACAUACUCUUAUAUAUAUUCUAUUUAUAAUAAUAAAAUUUCGACUUGUUUGUAAUUCGCACCCUUUUGGUUCUAACUAAUUGCACUUUACGCCUAAAAAGUUUAAGGAUAUACAUUUUGCAUUUUGCAAUCCUUAUUUAUUAAACCCGUCACAUUUAAAACCCUUUCCAUUAUGUUUUACUGUUAACGUUAAAUAAUUUAAGGGCAAAACUGUCCAAGAAUAUUUUUUGUUUUAGUACUCUUCAUUCUUGUAGCUAAUCUUCUCUUAUCAAUAUACAAUUAAAAUCAGAGGGUCUUUUGUCACAGAUUCAAAACUCAGUUCCACAAAUUUCAUCCGGACCUCGCACAAGACUACUUCCUAUCGUGUAUUAUAUUUUCAAUUGCGUUCAAUCUAUGCUAGUAAAAUCCAGUAAAAUGAGCAUAAAAAACAAGAUUUUAGAGUUUCUGUUGUUUUUCAUGCUGAAGGAGAUACAUACAAGCAUGAUAUAUAUAUGUACAAACUGAUACAUAGCCGUUGAAAUAUUUUUGGACAAUUUUGCCCUUGCAUUAUUUCACGUUAACAGCAAAAGAUAAUAAAGAGGGUGCUAAAUGUGAUAGAUUUAAAUAAAUAAGGGUUGCAAAAUGUAUAUUCUUAAAGUUUUAGGUGCAAAGUACAAUUAGCUAAAAUCAAAGGAGUGCGAAUUAUAAUUAAGUCUAAAAUUUUAUGUUCCUACUAGUUAGGCGACGAAUUCUCCAUUCCUUUGUACCUUUCAUUUAGAUACUAAUAGUUAGGCAACGAAUCCUCCAGGGUUUUCACAUCGAGAAUUUUUUGCAGAUGUUAAAGCGUCCAACUCAUAAUUGGCGAAUUCGUAGGUUCAAUUUUCCGGUGGAUGCACGUCAAUGAGACCCUCGAACUUUUCUAUAUUAAAAAAAUGUGAUACAAGUAUUUUUGUCAAUCACGAAAUUUUAUUUUAUUGAUAUAUAAACAAAAAUGUUAUUGCACUUUGAUAAAGGUUAAAUACAAAAUCUCAUUUUACUUGAAAUAAUGAAUUAUAUAUAAUUCUAAAAUUUACUCUUUUAAAAAGAAAGUAGGAAAACCAUUUCUGGUAAUAUAUCUUUUUUUCAAAUUAACAGUGUUACAGAAAUCGGGAAUUGGACCUAAUCAGUUGAGCUACCGAUUCAAAGAUUAUUCAGAAAUCGGGGAUUAAUUGGAGUGAAAAUCGGGUUUAUUUUAAUAUUAAAAUAUUAUUUAAUAUUUAGUUAUUAUUAUAUUAGCUAUUUAGUAACUAAUAUAUUUACUAUAUUCAUAAACUCAAUAAUUAUUCAUAUUUAAAGUAAUAUAGUAUUUUAAUUUCAAUAAUUUAUCACACAUACUUCGAUUAAGAAAUAUAUAUAAGGAUUAAUCGGAUUUCAAAAAUCGGAUCAGUGGCUGACCUUGCAGGGGAUUAAUCGGUUAAAUCGGAGAUUUUUAGAACACUGCAAAUUAACAUCAAAUCUUCUGUCAAAAUAAUAAAAUAAAAAAAUUAACAUAAAAUCUUAUUAAUUUAUAAGAAAACGAAAUCAAAAAGCGUUUCCAACUAUUGACGAAGCUGAUAACAAACAAUGAAUGUGAAACAUCUGAUGGGCUACCUUAUUCAUUUUCUUUUCACAAAACUAAUCGAUAAACACUUGGUUUGCUCUCAGAAGAUUGCCUAUUUUAAGUUUGAAUGCCUAUUUGCUUUGUUAGAGCAUGCACAUACUUAACAGGGAGUCCCAUCUAUAAUUACUAAUUGAUGCAUCUCUACCAUGGUCUAGAGGAGACUAGAUGCUUGAUAAAAGUUCUGCUAGAGAUUUUGCAUGGUGGGUUUUAACGAUUUAUGGGAAAGGAUGAUAGACAUUAGUCAACUGGGAGUUUCCAAGAAUUGAGCCUGAUGAUGAUAUGAUGCUUGUGGUGCUCUCAUCAUGUGAAUUAUAAAGCAGCAUUUUAAUAUUGUAAGAGAGUUUCAUGAUAGUUGGUCAUGUUUAAGGUGAUUGUAGCAUAGACAUUUAACUUUUCUAUAUUGUGUGCAAGCCUUGAAGUUUAUCUGCGUGAUCGUGACUCGGAGCUUUUUAGGUUUUGAACCUGAACUAUAAAGUUUUGCACAACAGGAACAUUGUGUGAAGGUUUGCUAGGAAGAGCUCUUUGCAAUACAAUUGAUGACGUAUGCCGGUUCUUGCAGAUGUUGGAUGGUUUUGUGGAGCCAAAUGAAUUCCCUUUCUAGUGGUCUUGUUGGCUUUUCGCGGAAUGUUCGUGGAAGAGGUUCACAAAUUAUGACUCGAUUAAGCAUGGAACUUAGUAGUUUUUCAAAGUCUGAGUAUUGUUGCUGCAUUGUUGGACCUCUUGGGCAGGACUUGUUUGAUGAAAAGAGAUUAUGUGAUUCUGGGGGGCCUUCACUCACACAUUUGCAUGCCUAGUUCAUUAAUAUUGAAAUGGGAGAAAAGCUGGUUUAGAACUGCCCAGAUGGAGAUGGAGGAUUAGGAAAAACUAGCGGAUAAGGUUCCAGGUUGCAGUUCAGUGAGAUUUAUGGACACACUUAUGAGUUCGUUGUUAGUGAUAAGUCACAGUCUCAGGGCAUCUAGAGCUUGUUGGAUUUGUAAAUUAUGAGGCCUGUAAGUCAGUCCUAUACUUUAAGCUAUUACAUACUGAACUAUUUUAUUUGAUUUAUUUGAUAAACAGCAUGUUAUAUUUAUUUCUCUGUUGUCAACGAUUCAGAGUCACAGUAGAUCAGCAACUUGAUAUGUAAGAUAAAAGCAUACCUUCAACAUGUGUGGUGGAAGACAAAGUAUGCAUAUUUAUAAACCAUAUGUGGCAUAUCUUGAUUUUGCAGAUAAAAAGGGCAUACAAUUGAAUGCCAGUAAGCUCUUUGAAUUGAAUAUAAUGUAUCCUUUAUGUUAUGUCAGUCUCUGCUGACUUUGUUAAUAUCUAUAAGAAAAGCAACAAAGCACAUACCUAGGGAAGAAAACAAUUAAAUGAUUUUGCAGCUGUAGGUGAGGCAUUGGGAAUCAUUUAAUCCACUUUCUACAUGAUUGUAAUAUUAGCAAUUUGAAACACCAAACUAAUAUGGCUACAUAGAAAAACUUGUUAUCAUAUGUAUCCCAAAAGGAAGUAUAUAUUACUAGUUAUCUCAGUCAACUAAAAUAUAUAAGACAGACACAGAGAAUAGUAGCAGUAAGAUCUGUUAUGCCCUGAAGAUGUUUUUAAAUAGAUAGUUAUAUCUGUUUUGGUUGAAAUUGCUUUUCAGAAUAAUUAGACCAAGUAAAAUAGGUUUUAAAAGAAGUAGGCCCAGUAAAAUAGGUUUUAAUAACAAUGUUUCGGCUUUAAUACUAUAGUAUAGAAUAAUCAUCUACAAUAGAAAAGCUUGAAUGAAAUUUCAUAGAAGUUCCAAGGCUGUAUAAUGUGAUUUUUAUAUUUGAAGCUACUAGGAAAAUUUUAAGUAUUACAAUAAAUCUGCGAUGUGGUAUAUAUAAUAUUACUGUCAUUAGUAUUUGAUAAAACAAAAGCAAAAAUAUCUUAUCCAAUUCAAACAUGGGAGAUAUAAUUAUCGGUAAUGAUUGACUUUUUGUUUUUCUAACUUAUUAAUUAUAACAGUUAAAAGGUUUUUUUGCUUUCCUUGUAUCUGGAGCUUUUGCUUUCCAUUACAAAGGAACCUAUGAUUUUUCAUUAUAUCUGGAGCUUUGGAUCAUUGAGGGUUGUUCAUGUUGUUCGGUCUUCGUUUUUACACGAUCCAUAAUGUUAUUCAUGUUAUUCAGCCUUUGUCUUCCCAUUCAGAUGAUCGAGAAGGUUCAUCAUAGUGAGGUCGCUAAAGGCAUCAAUGGCCUCGAUAGAUUCAUCCUCCGUCAAGCUCGCGGCAGUUCUACUGAGGUCUGCAUUUCUUUUUAAUUUUUUAAUUAAUUUUUUUGGUUGAUUGUUUUGAUGGGUUGGUUAUGCCUCUGCUUUGAUUUGUGUUGUUUGGGUUCAAAUGCGGGCCAGAAUUUUUCUAUAUAAAUCUAAACUCUGCAACUCUCGUAGAACUUGUCUGUUUAUGUUAGCAUUGUGCAGCUUGGUUUGACCUGGUCAGGUGUUCAUUAAUCAAUUGCGCCAAAGGGCUGCAGAGAUAAUUUAUAGUUGUGUUCAUCACAGAUUGCAAGUGUUUAUUAAUACGUCCAUUUCUUGCCUAUGUCACUUCUUGGAAGAAUGCCUAUGGAGAGGAGUAGCUUCUUCUCAGUAGUAAGGUACCAUGUGCUUCAUUGCGAUUGAUGAUACAAAAUUGUAAUAUAUAAAUACUUCUUUCAGUAGGCUGUGCAUACUUGGAAUACGACUGAAUUGUUAUCAGUUCAAUCAGCAAAAAUAAAAUUGUUUUCAUGUCCCUUCAAGUAGCCUGAAAAUUUCCAUGUUGGCCAGUUGGUCCUUUCCAUUCCAAAGUGCCAGCAAUUGUUAUAUGUUAUCAAGGCCCCUUUCCCUGGAUAUACACCCAACACGUGACCUAAAUUUAUUUCUUAAUUAUUUUAUAUGAAUGAUUAGAGUCUGAAAAUUAUUCUGAUAUAUAGUUGUUUUCAUUUCUAGACUACACCCUAUAGGAUUGGCAGUUCCUAUCUACUUCCCCAUCUAUAAAUUAGUUGUAAUUUUUUAAAUAAGUGUAAUCUGCUGACAUGUAUGUCAUGUUAUUUGCCUCAUGAAAUGAACAGAUAAAAGAAGUUCAACUUGAACUUAUAGGGCAUUAUGAAAGUGAAACUGCUGUAUCAAGGCUUGCUGCUGCACAUUCUAUUCCAUACUAGACAAUUACUCAAUUCAGAUCCCGAUAUAUAUAUUUGUCGCGUGUUGAAAUCCUCUUCGAGUUUUGUAUCCCAAAUGAAGUUACAGCCUGAUGGAGAUAUGUUGCGGCCUUAAUUGAAGCAAUGAACACGGUUGUAGAAGUUGCCACUUCCCUCAAAACAUAAAGUAAGAUAUCAUGCAUAAUUUUUCCACUUAAACCAAUAUAUGGAGCAACUGAUAUAACUCUUUUGAGUUGUGAUCAGAAGCCAGAUCUUCGCUCAUCAGGAUAUGACCCUAGACCAUCUUUCAGCCAAGAUCAGCUGGGGCAAGCUCCAUGUCAUAAGGGUGUAACAACUAUUUUACCAGUUGCAAGGAAGCUCCACAUAAUUAGGGUGUUACAUCAAGAAACUCAGGGGACAGCAUCAAAAGUUAGCAGGCACAGUUGGAUGAGCAAAGAUAAUUGUACCUAAGUAACCAUAAUACAGGUUGCGACGCUCUGGGGGACGAGUGGACUAAAUUCCCAAUUACGCCAACCUGGGCAAAUAAUUCAGAGGACAUUUCAAGUUGCAGAUGAGGUGAAGCUAUCAAUAUUUUUCUUCAUUCACAUAAUUUCUAUUUUUUCUGCUUCCCAAUAUUUAUAUUCUUAAUAUUUAUAUUAUUUAUUUAUACACAUUAAUUUUAGCUAUUCGUAGAGUUACUAGGCUGGGAAUUUCAGAGAUCUGUGCAAUUACACCUGUUCCGGUAACUGAAGACCUAUCAACUGCUCAACAAAGGUCCUGUAUAUCAUCUCGCUCCGGUAACUUGGCUGUGAUUUUGUGUUCAGAAAGAAGAAUGCCUGUUUUGCGUUUCCUCUUUGGCCAUAUUGUAUUGAUUCUUAUUUUUUAAUGUAUGUGUGUGUAUGAGUGUUUUUUUUUUGAAACAUAGUUGUGGCUAAAACUAUUCGGAGCCUUCAUAUUUUGAUGCAGGAAUGGCAUAUUCUUAUUUUUCAAACAUGGUUGAUCACAAGACUAGAACAUCAGGGUGCGUGUUUGUAGGAGGUGGGAGUCAUAAGCACGAAAAGAUGGCAACUUAAUAAGUCUAGGUAUAAUAAUUGACAAGAAAUUUAGUACUUUCCUCUCCUUUUUUAGGUUUUUCCUGCUAACUCUGUUCCUUUUGCUUUGUCUCAAUCUGUAGUUUAAACAUUUUCAAUGAUAGCAUUAAUAUUAAUAUACUAUUCGUUCAAGGCAGAUCGUGGUAACCAUGAAAACAUAUAUUUAGAAAUGCGAUUUGCAUAUUUUUGUUGUUGCAUGUGAGGGUUGGUCUCCGUUUGAUCCGAAUACAAGCUUCUCGCAAUGUUUCCUUGAUGAAUUUGAUGGUGAAGGAACAUUAUUACUUUUAGCUUCUGGUUGGUGAUGUUUGAGCAAGGAAGAAGAAGCUGCUACAAUUGAUUUGGUCGAAGGUUUCCCAUCCAAGCGUCUUGAUGAACCAGUGAAAGCAUUGAACUUGGGAACUUUGUUUGCCGUCUCUUCCUCAGCUGAAGAGUAUAUCAGUAAACCAGAUUUCACCAACUCAUAGUGUAGUAUAAAUUAAAAGAAGCUCAGUACUUGGACAAAAUGCGUAGAGUAGAAAGAAAGAUAGAGAACAUAGGUCUUUUGGUGGUCUCUUUUGGAAAUACUAGCUCACUGGCUGUGUUUAAUAUAACAUGGUUGAUUAUGUCUCAAAUAAAUUAAUUGUAAUAUUUGGUUGUUGCAGGGCUCAUAUAAAACAUAUUUUAGUAGCUGUCUCAACGAUUAACUAGAGAAACUAUUUGCAGCCGAUUUUUAAAAUAUUCUAUAUUCUAUAUUUUUCUCACUCGCGCGAAGCGCGAUGUUUCCACUAGUUUUAUUAUAACUGAGCACAGAAAAUGAAAUAAAUAUAAAUACUACACCUUGAAAUAAAAUUAGAUUCCCCAAACAGUCCCUUAAUUGGUCGAUAAAAACUAGGAAAGCUUACACUUCUCCGUAUGAAUACCACCCCGUUUUCCCUAAAUUAUCGAAGCUCCAUUUUCGGCAUUCACACAGAUCUCUCAUUCUUUCUUUUGUGAAGAUUGUUUUUAGUUCAAUUAAUCUUUUCUAGGUAUAAAUAGUAACAAAUUUAGCAUAUAUGUAUGUGUCUGCGCGGCAUCCUUUUAGGGUUUAUCCAUCAUUUUUAAUUAUUCAUGAUAACAUUGUUUCGUUCGCUUGUUUAACUGUUUGAUUGAGCACAUUUCUUUUCAUUGUUUACCAUUUAAGCUUUAACUUAUCUGCAGCAGUUUUAAUAGAUUUAAGUGACACUCAUUUAUCUUUGAUGUUCUUCAAGAUAUGUUUUUGGGGCUACUCUUACUUAAAAUUGAUUGUUUGGGUGUGAUUGGUUUCUGUUAGGUUCUUUCUGGUACUGAAAUGGGGGAAUCUAAGUCUAAGAUUGGGGAUUCAACACUCUCCCGCCAUAAGGCUACAACAAUCCAGUUUGACCUGACGAAACCACUAUCGCUUUCUGGGCCAAGCAAUGCUGAUAUCCGAAGAAAUGCCAUGUUGCACAAGGUAUAUAUAUUUAGGUUUUGAAGUUCAUAGUUAACUAUCUGGUUGCUAACAGUGGUGUUGUAAAUUAUGGAAGUUCUUGAUUACUUCGGGGGUGUACGAGAGCCUAGAAGAAACGGAAAGGAGAGAAGAGGUUCUUGCACAAAUCAGACAGGUAAGUUUAGUACUUACUCUUACAUCUGAGAGGAUAUUAUGUUUCCAUUACGUUUCCUGAUGCUUUAUUUUAUGCCAAGUUGUCUUUGGAUUUACUUAUUAUAAGAAGAAUCACAUCUUCCAUACCUUUACUCCGCAAGAUUAAAAUUGCAGUAGAAAAUAGAUAAGCAUCUGUUUCCACCUCACUUAAUGAGGUUGUAAGUGAUGUAUUCAAAGUGGUUAUAGUGCUAUCUAAAUGUUCUUGUUCUUCUUCAUUUUGUAUUGCAGCCACAAAUGGCACUUUUUAACUCUGUCAAUGCAAUGCUUUUUGACCAACCUUAAUUCCUGUGCUAUAUAUGGGCACUACUUCAAAUUUCUCAGCAUUGAGUGCAAGUAACUAAGUAUUAACUUUCUUUUAUGUGUUGAAGGUUCUCUUAGUCAGAUUUCUAUUUUUAUAAAAGAGAACUCAGUAAAACAGGUGCUCAAAAAUGCUUUUUCAGUACUCGGGGCAUCAGGCUUAUCAGUGCUCUUUGAAUGAAAAAAAUUAAUCUGUUGGUGUUUUAUUAAAGUAAAUAGGGUCUCAUUAAGUGAGACUAUUAAGUUACAUUAACACACACCCACUGUAUUUUUUUCUUGAAAUUCAUUGUGUGUGUGCGUGUGUUUUUUGCAUAACUAUAGCAUAUAUAUGUUUUGACAUGAUAUAUAUGCCUAAUUAAUAAAUGGGAGCUGGUCCCUGGCAUAUGUAUGCCAGGGAGAGUUUACGCGGCACACAGCUUUACGGCCGUUGGAUGCAUAUCCAGCGGCCAGGAUUAUAACCUAGCGUCCAGCGCUUUUUUAGCGCUGGACAGGUUCCGUCCAGCGCUUUUUUACCGCUGGACGGGGUCUUUUCCCCCGUCCAGCGAUAAAAAAGCGCUGGACAUAUUAAAAUUUUGUUUUAAUCCUGGCCGCUGGAUAGGCACCCAACGGCCAGCAAACUGAUUGUUGGUUAACAGCUCCCUGGCAUACGUAUGCCAGGGAGCUGUUAACCAACAAUCAGUUUGCUGGCCGUUGGAUGCAUAUCCAGCGGCCAGGAUUAAAACAAAAUUUUAAUAUGUCCAGCUCUUUUUAAUCGCUGGACGGGGGAAAAGCCCCCGUCCAGCGGUAAAAAAUCGCUGGACGGAACCUGUCCAGCGCUAAAAAAGCGCGGGACGCUAGGUUAUAAUCCUGGCCGCUGGAUAGGCACCCAACGGCCAGCAAACUGAUUGUUGGUUAACAGCUCCCUGGCAUACGUAUGCCAGGGAGCUGUUAACCAACAAUCAGUUUGCUGGCCGUUGGAUGCAUAUCCAGCGGCCAGGAUUAAAACAAAAUUUUAAUAUGUCCAGCUCUUUUUAAUCGCUGGACGGGGGAAAAGCCCCCGUCCAGCGGUAAAAAAUCGCUGGACGGAACCUGUCCAGCGCUAAAAAAGCGCGGGACGCUAGGUUAUAAUCCUGGCCGCUGGAUAGGCACCCAACGGCCAGCAAACUGAUUGUUGGUUAACAGCUCCCUGGCAUACGUAUGCCAGGGAGCUGUUAACCAACAAUCAGUUUGCUGGCCGUUGGAUGCAUAUCCAGCGGCCAGGAUUAAAACAAAAUUUUAAUAUGUCCAGCUCUUUUUAAUCGCUGGACGGGGGAAAAGCCCCCGUCCAGCGGUAAAAAAUCGCUGGACGGAACCUGUCCAGCGCUAAAAAAGCGCGGGACGCUAGGUUAUAAUCCUGGCCGCUGGAUAGGCACCCAACGGCCAGCAAACUGAUUGUUGGUUAACAGCUCCCUGGCAUACGUAUGCCAGGGAGCUGUUAACCAACAAUCAGUUUGCUGGCCGUUGGAUGCAUAUCCAGCGGCCAGGAUUAAAACAAAAUUUUAAUAUGUCCAGCUCUUUUUAAUCGCUGGACGGGGGAAAAGCCCCCGUCCAGCGGUAAAAAAUCGCUGGACGGAACCUGUCCAGCGCUAAAAAAGCGCGGGACGCUAGGUUAUAAUCCUGGCCGCUGGAUAGGCACCCAACGGCCAGCAAACUGAUUGUUGGUUAACAGCUCCCUGGCAUACGUAUGCCAGGGAGCUGUUAACCAACAAUCAGUUUGCUGGCCGUUGGAUGCAUAUCCAGCGGCCAGGAUUAAAACAAAAUUUUAAUAUGUCCAGCUCUUUUUAAUCGCUGGACGGGGGAAAAGCCCCCGUCCAGCGGUAAAAAAUCGCUGGACGGAACCUGUCCAGCGCUAAAAAAGCGCGGGACGCUAGGUUAUAAUCCUGGCCGCUGGAUAGGCACCCAACGGCCAGCAAACUGAUUGUUGGUUAACAGCUCCCUGGCAUACGUAUGCCAGGGAGCUGUUAACCAACAAUCAGUUUGCUGGCCGUUGGAUGCAUAUCCAGCGGCCAGGAUUAAAACAAAAUUUUAAUAUGUCCAGCUCUUUUUAAUCGCUGGACGGGGGAAAAGCCCCCGUCCAGCGGUAAAAAAUCGCUGGACGGAACCUGUCCAGCGCUAAAAAAGCGCGGGACGCUAGGUUAUAAUCCUGGCCGCUGGAUAGGCACCCAACGGCCAGCAAACUGAUUGUUGGUUAACAGCUCCCUGGCAUACGUAUGCCAGGGAGCUGUUAACCAACAAUCAGUUUGCUGGCCGUUGGAUGCAUAUCCAGCGGCCAGGAUUAAAACAAAAUUUUAAUAUGUCCAGCUCUUUUUAAUCGCUGGACGGGGGAAAAGCCCCCGUCCAGCGGUAAAAAAUCGCUGGACGGAACCUGUCCAGCGCUAAAAAAGCGCGGGACGCUAGGUUAUAAUCCUGGCCGCUGGAUAUGCAUCCAACGGCCAGCAAACUGAUUGUUGGUUAACAGCUCCCUGGCAUACGUAUGCCAGGGACCUGGACCCUUAAUAAAUAAUCAGUGUGUAAUUUUACAUUAAAGUACACAUGUUUUGUCCUUUUGUUAUAAAAUGAAAAAUUUAAAGACCUCUAUUCAACCUUCUGACCCUGCCACUAAACAAACUUAAUACCCUUAUUGUUAUUGNACCCUGCCACUAAACAAACUUAAUACCCUUAUUGUUAUUGUUGAGCAAAGUACCUUAGCUCAUGUCUGCCACUGAGUUUCACAAAGAAAUACAAAUUCAGUCCCUUGUGGUAUGUUAUAUCUUAAAAAAAAUGAACAGUAUGUGGUUCCCAAGGCCACAACAACAAUUUGAACCAAUAAUAUUCAUGAUUGGAGGUGGGUCAGGACUUUGGAACCCAUGUUAUACUCAUUUUCUGGAAACCUGAAAAAUUCCCGUCCAUAUCCGCGUUAAUAUCUGCAAUCAGCCAUCACAUCCUUUCCUUCCUUGUUUCUCCUUUAUCUGUAUUCACAUACUAAUAACAUUAUUGAAUUGAUGGCAUGGAUUUCACAAACUUUUCUCAAAUUUCAACCAUCCAAAUCAUUUAAGAAGAAUACUUGUCCCUUAACCAUAUCAGUUUCACUUUCCUAAUUGUCCUCAUUAACUAACAUUCCUAUCCAUCUCUCCCUACCCACCUUAAUUUACCCCUGUGAUGCUGACCAGUUGGUGGAUCCAUCUGGCUUUAUAAAAUUUGGUAGAAUCUCGUGUGAACAUUUCCUCAUCUACUCUCCAUAAGUUCGAUCUCCCACCUCGCUGAUCACGUAUGACACUAUCUAUGUUACUCGGACUCGGGUACGGAGUGUCGGACACGACACAUAUCCGAGUGCUGCACUUUGGAACUUUGAAAAUAGGGGACACGCGGACACUAUCCUAUUUUUGGACAUGGGCAUGGGAGACAUCAUAGUAUACUAAUAAAAAAGUAUGGUAAGUUAGACAGAUUUAACAAAAAGUAACAAUAAAACUCAAAUUAGACAUGAUUUUGUACGGGAUUUGCAAAUUAAGCAUCUUCUGUACUUUAUCCUAAUCUUACUCUUUUUUUUUCCUUACAUAUUUCUUUUGAAUUGUAAGUUUCACUCAUAUUUAAUUUUUAAAUUGGUCAAAGUGUCACAUUUUAGUCAAGGAAUCCGACACGAAAUAUGUGUCAUGUCCGAGUAUCCAAGUGUCCGUCACGGGUACAACCUAAAUAGAAGAGUCCGAGUAACAAAGGACACUAUCCAAGUGCCAAACUAUACCAUAGAUGAAGCAAGAAAUAGGCCAAUCUUUAUGUUUAAAAUUAACUGACAACUACUCCCUGUCGUUCUUAAGUUACAUUUUCCAUUUUGAUGAUAAGAUAAUUGAUUUUGACUGUUAAUGGCACCCAAAGAAACUCAUGUCAAACUCUAUGGAAAAUUAUUAGGGUCAGAGGUAACAAGCUCAUCCAUAUACUUAUCGACCUCCAUGACAACCUCUCGAACUUAAAUCAUAAAUUUGAAUCUACAUAUGCAAUUCAUGCAUGUUCAUAUUCACACAACACAUCUCCUUGGUUUUAAUUUCUCAAAUAGUACUUUAUUGAAUAUCUAGGACUGUUUUCAAUGACUCAAGUGAUAUUAGAUUCAUGUUACAUUAUAAAUAUUAGAAGAUGCUUAUUUUCUAAACAUACAUCCCUUUUCCUUAUUUCACAAGUUGACCACAAGAACCUUUUCCACCAGGCACCACUGAGUAAUGAGUAUCAAACCCAUCUUCAUGGACUACCUCUUUAUACUCCACUCCACUAAUCUCCUCCCCCCUAGUUGAUGUAUCUAUAAGUUCUUGAUUAAUUUACAAAUCAUCCAAACUAACACUAUAUAAAGAUAAACAAAAAGAAUGAGAGACUAAUCCUGAAACAGUCAAGCCUAGACUGGGCUUUAAUAGGACCAUUUCCAAAAAUGAGUCCUUUUGACUAUCAAGCCUAGACUGGGCUUCUAAUAGGACCAUUUCCGUAGCGGUCUUUUCACCAAAAUUUCCAGGCUAGGCCUUAUUGUGAGAAUAUGAAAAAAAUUGUAAACGAACAAAAGGUGACAGGGGAAGGGUCUUGGCAAUAAACAUAAACAAAAUAAAAUACGGUAGUGGUAGCUAUCUGAUCAUGAUCCAUAUUACCAGUUAGACAUAAUUGAUGAAAAUUAUUUUAUCCUCCAGGGUUAGAUUUUGAGUCAAAUGUUUUAUCACUUAUAUCUAAAUGUAUCUCACAGAAAAAGUAAAUUAUGCAGUAGGUGUUUAUACGCCAUUGCUCUUAGUGUGACUUGUGGCCAUAUUGUUUGUAGGUUUAUAUCUAUGUGAAGAAAGAUGUGAUAUGAACUCAUAUAUAUAAUUAUAAUCAUCCGGGUGGGCUUUAUAUAAGCCAGGAACACAACUGAAAUAGCCUAUCUUUCUAAAAAACUACUACCAUUCAAAAUUAAUGAAAUCUAAUCCUAAUCUAAUUUAACCAAAUAUUUGGUCAACAAAAACCAACCAAUUAUUAAAACAAAUCUAAAUUUAAAAAUUAAAGCAUAAUUUUAACACUCCUCCUUGCUUUAUUAUUUUAAUCGGUCAUUAAAACAAAAUUUCGUCAUUCUCAUGUUCUUGGAUGGUAGCCUCUUUUGCCUUCUCAUGCUCUUGGAAUAUUAUUUUCUUCUUACACUUCCAAAUAUAUUCAUGCACAUACUCCUCAUUAGUUCCUCCCUUCGCUUUUCAUGAAUGUGAUUUUGUGCUUUAGUUUCUGGUUAUGAUUUUUGUUUAUGGCUUCUCAGCCAUGGCAUGCUGUGAUAUUAUGGUUAUGGUUAUGUAUGACUUCUCAAUUAUGACAUGUAAUUUUAGAGUUAUGAUUGUGUAUGACUUCUCUGUGAUUUUAUGGUUAUAGUUAUUGGUUAUGGGUCUUGAAGGUGUUUCACGAGUUCCUUAAGAAGAGAGCUCUUGAUACCAUUUGUUGGUUUAUUUCUCUGUGAAAAGUAAUGUAAUGUGAAUUGAUAUAUAUCAUAAUCAUUUGGGUGAGAUUUAAAUAAGUAGGAACAUAACUGAUAUAGCCUACAUUCCUCAAAAACUGCUACUACUCAAAAUUAAUUCAAAUCUAAUCCUAAUCUAAUUUAACUAAAAAUUUGGUCAGCACCAACUAAUUAUUAAAAUAAAUCUAAAUUUAAAAAUCAAAUCUUGAUUCUAACAUUGUUGUAUUUUUUUUUAAAUGUAUUGUAGAUUGCAAAAGAUUGUGUGAAGCAAGUUACCUCUGAAAAAGGAUACUCGAGUAAAUGGGUUAAAAAUGCGAAUGUCGUGAUAUUUCCUUAUGGUUCCUAUCGCCUUGGGGUAAGAAAUUGAUUAUUACUAUCACAUGAAUAGGUGGAGAUUUGUUAUUUGUUCUGGUUAUGAUAUUUUAAUUUGUUUAAUAAUCUAAUUGUGUUAAUCUGCAAUUCAUGCUGAUUCUCACAAUACAUAUUGUAAGGGAUUUUGUCCCAAUCUGAUUAGUUUUCAUUUUAUAUGGAUCUGGAGUUUCUGGACAGAACGACAACACUUGGUUUAAAGAACACUGAUAACUAUAACACUUUGACACGAUAUGAAUUGGGAUGGUAAAGACAUAGUAGCCAUUCAAUUCAUGGGAUUUCAGUCCAGUUUAUGGUAAUAAGAAUGACAUUCUGAUGCAUUUUUAUUCGUAUUAACUUGGUUAAAAAAGCCAUGAUCCAAACAACCCCGUAAUGUCUCAUCUAAUUAUGUAAUGUCAGAACUAGGAAAGUGAAAAGAGGAUUUGUUGGACAGUUUGUGGCUCCUAUGAAUUUUAGUUGUCACUUGUUGUGUCUAAGGGAUUGGCUAACCAAUAAUUUAGAUGUAAAAUGCAGAACAAUAGUUCCCGGUUCCUAGAGUGAGGGAAUAAAAGAGUUAUCCGCAACCCUGCUAAAAGCAUGGGUGUGCUUAAUAGGAAAUCAAAAGCAAAAAAGUUUAUCAACGACUAUAUAAAACCAUGCAAAUAAAUUUUCUUUUUCAUAGUUCAAAAUGGAUGUAUAUGACCCUAGAUGUCAAGUAGGUAGAAAUCUGUUCAGAAGAUCCAUUUGUACGAUGAUGAACAAGUCCUGCGACAAAUACUUUUGCAAUCUUUUCGUAAACAUGAAACAAUUUCCAUUAUACCCAUUUCAAAGUAGUUACUGCAUAUCUAAUGCAAAUAUCUAUUAUAGAUUUAUAUAGAAGUUCUUAUAACUGUCAUCCUAUUAUCCAUAUACAAAUCAUUUAUACUUCUUUAGUUAUAUAAAUAUAAUUUGGUAACAAUCUUCUUUUGAUUUAAUAAAGAAGGUUUUCUUUUAUCUUACCCUUUGUCUUCUAAACUUGAACCAUCGUAAUGAUAAAUUGUAGUCUCAAAAAUAUCGAUUUAGUGUGUAUAAUACUUCUAUGCUUAUGAGCCAUUUAUUGGUCCGAAAACAUUAAAUUUGCACAUAAUUGUUGAAAAUAAUACUUAUGCAAUAUUUUCAAUACUUAUCCAAAAUGUGAUACUAUUUAUUUAUUAUUCUUUUUGACGGGGAACCAUUAGAAGUAAAAUCCAGGGGUGGACCACCCAACUAGACUAAUACCACAUAAAUUGAGUGCUUUUUUGUGUAAUCAUUAUUUUAUUUUGUUAGUCACUAGUAUUUAUUACAAAUAACAAAGGCAUACAUGUCACUUGGUCAUGUGGUCAUAGUUCAUUUACGGUUGGAAAUGAACAGAGUUGUUCAUGAAUAAAACUCAAGUUUGACUCGUUUAACUGAGUUAAGUGUUGUUCCUUUAUUGGAAAAACCCAAUCUUGUACAUGAAUUUUGUUUCUUAGUAAAGAAAUCCCAGUCGAGCAUUUUGCCUUGUUCGGCUCAAACUCGGCUCGUUUAGAUUGGGAUUUGCUCAAACUCGGCUCGACUUGUCUGGCUUGAUUUGACUUGGAUAAAUUUUUUAUUAUAUAAAUAAUGCAAUAUUAUCGAUAAUUUAAAUUUUCAAAAAUGAAAAUUUCAAGCCACUAUAAUUAAAAUUUGAAAUGCAUGACUUAAUUAAAUUACUACCUCCGUCCCAUUCUAUAUGAAUGGGUUUGACUUUCACGGAGAUUAAGAAAAAGUAGUAAAUGUAGUUGAAAAGUGGGUAAAAUGGUGGGACCUAUUAAUAUUUAAUAAUAGAUUUGGGAUAGUGGAGAAAAGUAGUGGGUGUAAUAGUGUUUAUUUAAUAAUAAGAGAGUAUAAAAUAUAGAGUUAGUGGGUGUAAUAGUAAAAAGUAGUGUUCAAAAAUAGUAAGUAUUCUAGGUUCAUUCUUUUUGGGACGUCCCAAAAAGGAAAUGAGGUCACAUAAAAUGGGACGGAGGGGGUAAUAAGUUAUAAAAUUGAUUAAAAGGAAAAACAUAAUGCACUUGAAGUAAUAUAACACUAAUUCAGUUCACUUGUCUUUCUCAAUAAUAUUAAGAUAAUAUAUUUAUGUUCUUAAAAUUUGACAUGAACGAUUGAAAUGAUAUAAAAUAAAAGAACAUGCUAGGGAAGUGUAAGUGUAUGAUUUUAAAAGCCUCUCCAGCAGGAUCCUAACUCAUUAGCUACAUAUAUGAAAAAAUAGAUCCUAGCGACUUAGGACAUGAAUAAUUAAUGUCAUCUCCAAUAAUGUCAGUAGUACUCAUUCCUUACUUAUUUAAAGUCUUUUCGACACUAAAAGUACAACUUGCAAGUUUUUUGUAAUAUUUUAUAAUAAAAUAUCAGUUUAGGGAACCUUAGGAGUUGAGAGUGAUUCCUUAAAAAUAAGGAAUGAAAUAAAGUUAUAUAAAGGAUUAACCAGGACAUUGUUGGAUCACUUUUUUUUUUCCACUUAUUCCUUAGCAUGAAUAACUAAUUUGUUGGAGUUGCCGUAAAAUAGUUAGAUACUAGGAUUUUAUUUGGACAUAAAGUGUAAGAUUAUAAAUAAUAUUUUACGAAUAAUGGUUAUUUGAGUAAAAAACAUAUACCAACUAUUUGUGGAAAACUCAACUCCAUUUGAACUUGGCCUAAGUCUAGCUCGACUCAAAUUGUUCGUGAGCAAACGAGACUCGUGUUUAGCUUGUUUUUCAUCGAGACGAUCAUGAAAAUUAAUUUUUGUUCGUUUAGAAAACUCAGAUUAGAUUGUCUCGUAAUAUGCCUUUAUUCGCACACAUUCUGUUAAUUCAUAAUUCUUGGGGUCAAAUCUAACCAAAUCGAAUUCACAGACCAAACCAAUGGCAAAUAAAUAAGUACAAAUAAACUACAGUUUGAAAGGGCCUAAUUAUAUGGUUUAGAGAUGUUAGAGAGGUCCUUAGCACACUUUCUUCUUAAGUACUCCCUCCGUCCCACUCAUUAGUCAUUUCUAUACAAUUUUUUGUAUUGCUUGGCACACAUUUCAAUGCUUCUAUAAAGCAUAUUUCUAUAACUUAUUUUUUAAAAUUUUUGUUUCUGACAAAAAAUUUAAACAUUGAAUUUUCAUCUAUAAGAAAAAGAAUAUAAAAGAAUUUAUAGAACUGUAUCUUAUAAGAGUCUUGAAAUGCGUGCCAAACAAUUAUAAGUCCGAGUGGAACAAAGCGAGUAGUUUUUACUUUGAAGAUUCAAAUUUUACCCUUUUUUCUGCAUGUUAUCUUUUGUAGGGUCAUGAAAAAUUUAUAGGAGAUCAUUGAUCAUUGUUAUUCUCUUCAUCAUUAUUGGAGGAUGUAAUGCCCCGAUUUUGAAUUGAAAAGAGCAUUCUUCCCUAGGGAAGAGCAUCUGUAUUGGAUAAUAAUAUUUCAAUAUAAUAAUCAACCCGCUUGAUAGAAACACCAUGCACAUUAGCAAUAACAACAUCAGAAACAACAUUAUUGAGACUGUAGGGGAGGGGGCAUAUUGCUAAAGCAUAAAGGCAGCCAAUCAGUAGAUGUUCAAAAGUUUGGCAACAAGGUGGGUAAGAAUCAUCACUAUAAACAUGUACCAUUAAGUGAUCUGGUCUAGGUUAGUUGGCUUGAAGUUCAAUACAAAAUCUAGUAGAUGUAGAUUCAUUUAGGAUGAUUGGUUUGGUUAAACUAUCUAAAACCAACCCCUUUUAUCAGUAAGAAUGUGGUAAGUUAGCAAGUUGAGCACAAACACACAAGGAUAAACUUCAUGAAUUCAAUUCCCAAGUCCUCAUAUUAUAAUGUAAGAACAUAAAAUUCCUAAAAAUAAUAGAACAAGUCAACAUGUACUCUUUUAAUCCAAUUUCUUCAAGAAAAUAACUUAACAUACCAGAAAUUUGGCUUUCCUAACUAGUGCAACUAUCAUUCAAUUUUUUCUAGCUUUCUUAAAAAAAUUUGGAUUUGGACAUGGCUUAACAAAAGAGGUGCCAAUGUCAUAUAUAACUCCAACUCUUUUGUUUAGGUAGCCAUACCCAUGUCUAACACUUGGACACAACAUUUUCUUGUCGGAUUCUUGACUGAUAUGCGGAUACUUUUACCAACCGAAAGACCACAUAUAAGUUGAAUAUACAAUGCAAACCAAAGAAAAGCAAAAAUAAAAAUACAAGAAGUGAAGAUCCUUAAUUUGCAAAAUUCCUUACAAAAUUGUGUCCUAGUACUCUUGUCCAAAAAUAGGAUAGUAUCAUGUCUCCCAAAUUUUUAGAUUUUUCGAGUCCAACACUUGAAUAUGUCUUGUGUCCGAUACUUCGUACCCUGAGUCAAAGUAACAUAGCCGACGUGCCAUUGAUACAUCAUUUAGAGGAAUAUGAUUAUGCGAAAUUUUGUUACCAAGUGUAAUCCUCUACCACACUUGCUUCCUUUCUUUCGAAGCUAAGUUCAAUAAAACUCACAAAACUCACAGAAAGUCAAAGUUGCUAGCCAGAGAAGUUUAAAAAGUAGUAGAACCUUGUGGUAAUUGAUCAGGAGUCAAGGUCCCGAAAGGAGAUAAGUCAUUGGUAAUUUUAGUUCACUUAGAAGUUUGAAGCAACAAUGGGUUCUUUUAAAUUAGGAUUUUUGGGGGCAGCAAUUUGUAAAGAUUUGGUAGCUUUUUACUCGAACUCUGCUAGGACUGUCGUGUAUGGAUACCGUGAGUGUCGGACUCAGCAACACAUUAGAAAUGUGCAUGUCUAACAUAGGUGUUCAAAUGCAAGUGUCCAUGUCCAAGUGUUAAGUGUCUGACAUGAGUAAUUGAGGUAAAAUGAAGAGUCCGAGUAACCUAGUUUGGUAGUAAAAGUGUCAACUAGGUUAAUAGUUUUAGGAUCAAUAUUGAGGGAUUGGAUAUUAGUGUUUAAGUUGAUAUGGGUAAAUUAGUGGUGGUUUUAAGUUCCUAUUUGUUUUGGAUUUUUUUCUCUAGAAGGGGACUAGGUCAAUGGUUGUUGGAAGCUAAAAUAUGGAAUUUUGUACGAGAGCAAGAUCUGUAAUAGUUAAUCGAAAGCAUAGCUUUCAUAUAAUCAUCCACUGUUGAGAAGAUGAAGGGUUAGAAGAGAGUCUAGCGGAGAGAGUUUAUAGAAGUAGUUUCCAUCAUUAGCGCUCAAGAGUCAAAUUAUAUAUAGUGUCUCGAAAUUAUGCACCUAUUGUUUUCUUAAAUUCUCAAGGCAUGUUUAUAAUUAUAUAUGUUCAUUUCUUAAAUAGUUGAUCGACUUGUUUUACAAUACAUUUAUGGGGUCGCGUUCAAGAGAGAAUCAGUCCUUAAGAUAGAACCAUAGAACCACUAAGGUUCUGCUUUCUAAAUAGAUUUUUAGGAUCUAAAUCUAAAUACAUGUUUUUGUCAUGUUUUUUCCAUCGUUGUGUGUGUUCAAAAAUAAUUUUAAAAAUAUAAUACAUAGAUAUUGACAUUUUUUUGCAUGUGAAGUUCUGCUGCAGAUGCCUAAUUAAUACUUAAGUUCUGCUGCAGAACCCUACCUAAUACUAGAAAUAAGGUAAGGGUUCUAUGGUUCUGUCUCUAAUGGUUCUCUCUUGAACAUGACCCUACAUUUAUGAUGUAUGAUCAUAAUAUAGGUCAAUUAACUGGAGGUGAAUCUGUUUAGCUGACAUUAUUUCCCAAUCCAGAAACUAAGCAACUGAUGCUUGAAAUUGAUGUAGUAUAUCAAUGUUCAACUUUUAUCUUCUUCUUCUUCUGUGAUGCCAAUAUUUUGGUAACAUACUUGCUGAAACAAUAUGUUUAUAUGAAAUUAGGUACAUGGUCCUGGAGCUGACAUAGACACCUUGUGUGUCGGGCCUUAUAAUGUGAGACUACAGGUGAAAUAUAAAUUUCCUUAAGUAGUGUAUAAAUAUGACAAGUACUUUAACAUCGUGUUAAAUUAAUUUGGUUGUUUGUGUUCUUUUCUCUACAGGAAUUUUUUUCCUACUUGCAUAAAAUAUUGGCAAAAAUGGAUGAAGUUACAAAUCUGCAAACUAUUUUGGAUUCUUAUGUCCCAGUAUUGAAAUUCAAGUUCCAAGGAAUUUUGAUUGAUCUCGUUUAUGCUCCUAUAUAUUUUCGGAUUGUUCCAAAUGUAAGUGUCAGGACAACCUUUUAAUCUAAACUUAUUUUCUUAGUUUAUUGGUAUAUCUAGUGACAAAAAAAAUAUAAUCCAUCAUUUAAACCGUUCAGUCUUAUUCUAAUGAAGACUAUGUGAUUUGCCCUUCAUUUGGUGUCUCAAGAGUAGCACUGAACAAUGAUCCUUGUAAUAAGUCAAGUCUAUCUUUAGUACUCAUGGACCAAGCCUUCUUAAUUACACUUUAGUGCUAGAAAGGUGCUUGCAUCUUUGUAAGCAAGUACCCCCAAUUAAUGUCAUAUAUAUACAGUUGAUUUAGCUAACAUGUUUGUAAUAAAUGAUGAUAUAGAUAAUCAAAUUAUUAUGACACAAAUGAUUAGCACACUCACUUCGUCUUCUAAAGGAUGUUGUGAGUGAAAAUGUGCAAUUAUUGCAAAAAUUAUUAUAAUCAAACAAUAGAAAUAGAUAAGAGUUGAAAUAUAAUCUUAAUUUACUAUGUUGCACCAUAUUUGUGUAUGCCAUUAUAUGCCUUUUCUCACGGUCAGUGAAAUCUUAUUAGGAAUAUUCUUUUGAAUUAGGGUCUAAACAAGUUGAAUACCUUCCAACACCAUGGUGUCAUAAUUUUAAAGAUUACAUUUUGAGACAAGUUUGAAAAAUGAGAUAAAUUCGAUAAUCAAAUAAAAGUUGAAUGCUUAUGUAAUCAAUUUUAUAAUUGCAACAUAAGAGUCUCUAUCGAACAAGUAGACAAGUAGUAUAUUUUUUUGUUAUAGAUAUGUGAUUAAAUUAUCACUAAAUUACCACUUAAGGCGAAACUUACACCGCGCACAUGAAUGAAGUUCUCAAGAUUUUUUCUUCUAACUUCAUGUUUUGUACUUGAACCAGUAUCAAUACGCUUCUAUUACUACGGUCCUCUUAAAUCUCAACUAGCCAUAUAUAUUACUUACCAUAUUUCCAUGUAGAAUGUAGAAUCAUAAACUGUUAGGGAUAAAAAUACGAGAAUCUAACUUCAAAUGCAAAGCACGCAUAAAAAAAAUAUAUGACGCGGAAAAUCCAUGCCCCAACUUGUAUUAUUAAUCAAAACCUGAUAAUACAAUCAAUCAAACUUGGAUACUCAAGCCUAACAACAUUCAAGCAUCCGCUCGCAAGCGAUACCUAAGUCUACAUCUUGAGCACACGUAACAAACACAAUAUGACUAUGUAUAUAGCCAUCUCAAACUUAGCUAAAUCAUAAUCUAAUUCUGAAAUACCUAACUCCAAUUAGAAUUCAUUCUGAAAUCUAAUUCAAAUCAGAAUCCAAUUCAUACUGGGUUAAUACCCAACAAUCUUUCCCAUUUUUUGUCACCAAAAUAUACAUUUUAUAAUAAUCGUCUAAACAUACAAUUAUCAUCCAUAUAUGUUUUGUAGCACCCUAACUCAUGCUACCAUUGUAAUGGGUCAAUACCUAACAAUCCUCCCCUUAUCAAUAGUCAAUUCCAACACACAAACGUCCAUCCGCCAGUGCCUUCCCUCAAACAAGAAUCUCCCCAUCUCGUUCUUCCGAACUCUGAGUAUCGCUAAAUUCUGCUUAGUGACCUCCAUACCACCAUUCUUUAUCCUAAUAACAUAUCCAUCUACAAAAUCACGUGCAUCAACCACGAGUGCCUAAUAAGUCCUACUCUUACUUAGUUGACAUGCAGUUAUCUAGCUCUGAGCCUUCUUCGCCUUGUCUAGGUCUGGGCUAAGAACUUUCUGCUAGCUGUUUACCAGAGUUAAAGCCAACUCUUCAGUAUAUCUAUAUAAAUGUCACUAUGACCUGACAGUAUUGCGUAUUUGCUUCAAUAGUGACAUCUAGUGAAUUCCUUAACUCUUAGGUUAUGUUUCAUUGCGAGGACUAUAAUCCUUUCACUAUACAUCAUCACACUCAUUUAACCUCAUUUAAAUCCCUUGAACUAAUCACUUUAAAUUAAAAAAAAAAAAAAAAAUCCCUUGGCACUAAUCUAAUCAAGUUUUGUCACUCAUGAUUUCAUUUUAGGGGAAUACGUAAUACUCUCUCACCCAGGUAAGAAAUUCCACGUUAAUGAACUAAAAAAAUAAUUGCAAUGUAGUCCAUGGUGCAGAAAACAGUGAAAUUUACUGUAUAUAAUUUACUAGUCCAGGAUUUUAAUCUCUUUAAAUAAAAUCACGAUGGAACAUAAAUUUCAAAGUUUUAGAGCUUUUCACUAGGAUAAGUGAUUCACUUAGGUCAUGUUACUUCACUAACUCAAAGAGUAUUUGUGUAGCUAAUGGUUCCAUGUUCUUAUUAUCACCAACGAUCCUCUCUCUGCAGACCAUCUGUUUCCUCAUCUCUGCAGAUCAUCUAAUUACUACAUUAAUGUCAUAUUUUUAAUAAUGAGCAUACAAUCAUUCAAUCGAUAUUUCCAAGCAUCUUGACGCAGUCUAGUUCCUACAUAUCCCUGUUAGAUAACUUCUAUUAAUAUUUUGUAGGACAUGAUAACUAAUUUUUUAUGAUAGAUAUAUAGCAAAAAUUAUAUGACCAAUACUAUCGAGUAAUUUAAGUAUGUGUUCCUGCUGAUUUCGUGUAAUUGAUCUUAUGGCAUGUUUGGGGACAUGGAUUUCAUUUGAAAUUCUGGAUUUCGUCAAAUGACAUUUUUGGAUAUACAAAUAAAUUUGGAUUUGGAUUACAAAAAAAAAUCCAAGACAUUCAAAUACUCAUAUAAACAUGAGAACUUGCAAUUAUAACACAAAUCAUAUUCUUUGAAAUCUAGCAUUUGAGAUGAAUUUAUAAGCUCUCAAACACAACCUUAUUGUAUUCGACCUUUUUAAGUUCUUGCUAGAAUUUUCUGUUCUUCCUCCUCCUAAUCAAUAUAUUUGUCCCUCUAUUCUGUUCCCCAGGCACAUCUUAAUUUUUUCUUGUUCGAUAGACAAGAUUUUUUUUUUUUUUUUUAAAUAAUAAUUUUACAUGGAUUAGUGGUGCUGAGUAAUGUCGUAAAGAUUUUGCCCUCUUAGAAAAUUACAACCUAUACUUUGACCGCAGUGGGUCGUACUGCUCGGAAAAGCUGCUAGAGAUCUUGUUUAAAUUGAUGCUGAGAAUUUAUAUUAGGUAUUUAAACCAGCUAGAUGAUUUAAAAGCCUAGUAACUAAAGAAUUUUGUUGAUAAUAUGAUUGCUAAUUAGCUUUCUACCCUAUAAAAGUUAAUGUAUCACCCAAUUAGUAGUUUAGUGCACUGUUCAUGCAUAUGCUUAAUAAUGUUCCCAUGACUGUCAGUAUUGCGGUGCUUGUUCAGUUUAUUUAUUCUUGAAAGUGUUAUACUAUGCAAAUCAGAAUCAACACACACACACACACACACACACACACACACACACUAAGAAGAAGGCCUUCGGUUUCGUUUCCACUUUUAAAUGUCCUCUUGAGUUCUAUCACGGUGUAUUAUAUUCGUACACCAUAUAUUACGGUACACAAAAACUUUAAAGUGGCAUUUAUAUGUAAACAGGGGUAGUAUUUGGAAAGCCAAUGAUACAGACAUUUUCUUUAUUGAUUGCACAAAUUUCUAAGUUGUUUUCUUGAUUGUUGGAAGCAGGACUUGGACCUCUCACACAAUUCUGUGUUAGGUUACGUUGACAAGAAAGCUGUACCAAGUCUUAAUGGAUACCGGGUUGCUAAUAAAAUUCUUGAGCUUGUUCCAAAUGUGGAGGUGGAUAUAGUGAUUCAGCUUAUUCUUUACCUCAAUAUUUUCAUCAAUACCUCUGACUAAAAUUUAAAUUAUUUACAUGCAGAACUUUCGGACAACCCUCAGAUGUUUGAAGUUAUGGGGUAAUAGACGUGGUCUCUAUUCAAAUGUGAGAUACUAUCUUUCAGUUAAAUGUUGUUUAAGUCGCUUAGUUCACUGAUUGCAUGUUGACAUUUUCAAUUGUAUGCACCUUGUGUGUAGGUUACUGGAUUUUUAGGCGGCAUAAAUUGGGCUAUCUUAGUUGCUCGGGUUUGCCAGCUUUAUCCUAAUGCAAAUCCUAGUAUGCUUGUUUGCCGUUUUUUCAGAGUUUAUACAGAAUGGAAAUGGCCAAACCCCGUGAUGUUAUGCCCGCUCGUAGAGAGCAACAGACGUCGAUUUCAUGUGUGGGAUCCUCGGAAAUAUUUAAAAGACCGAACCAGUGUUAUGCCAAUCAUAACCCCUGUAUAUCCUUCAACGAAUUCUAGUUAUAACGUUUCAACUACUACGCUGAAUAUCAUAAAGGACCAAUUUGAAUUUGGGAAAAAGAUGUGUGAGGUAAAACAUAGAUAGAAAAUUUUCACAAUGGCACUCCCUCGCCCCUCUCUCCGAGAUUAAGCUUCUUUUGCUUUAUUUAAUAUUGUAGCCUUUGCUUUUCUUACCAGCAAAUUGAGCUCAGGAAUGGUCAAUGGGACUCUUUAUUUGAAUUCUAUCCGUUCUUUGAGGCAUACCCAUGCUAUCUGCUGAUUAAUGUUUCUGCCUCGGAUGAGGAAGAUCUUUUAGAUUGGAAAGGUUUCGUGAAAUCUCGGCUCAUGAAACUUACUUUGAAGGUUAAUAUUUUACUUUAUUUACGUAAAUCAGUAGUAUCUCCAGCUCAGCUAUUCCAUGUUUCUUUUCUUUCCUUGUGUUCUUUUGUAGAUAGAACGUGCUCAUGAGAAGUUACAGUGUCAUCCUUGUACAAAUGCUUAUACGGACGAAUCUAUAUCACCUGCACGACAUUGUGCAUUUUUCAUGGGGCUUAAGAGAAAAAAAGAAGAAACAACUGAAGAGGUCCAUAUGCAAACAAAUGAAGAGGUCAAUGUGCUUGCAACUGGUGCUCAGUUUGCUGAUGAGGUAAAGGGUAGAUACCCAAACUGGAAACAGACGAUGGAUAUAAACUUGAAUCUUGUUCGCAGGGAGGAAAUGCCAUCAUAUGUUUUUCGCCAACAAUCUGUGCUCUGAAAGGUUGAAAUGCAAAUGGCGGAGGCCGUAAGUGAUAUGGAAACUGAAAUCCUGGAUGCAGUGGGAACCGGAUAUUUUAAGAGGCUUCAUUGAUAAGCUAUAAGUGUCCUUUUAUAAAAUUGAGUAACGAACAACUUAAGUGCCUAACUUAUACAUUGAGGAAAACUAUAGUUAAAUGUUUGAAGAUACAUGCUUAGCUUUAAACAGUUGUCUAAAUUAACUAAUGUCACAAAAUAAAGCCUUGUCUCAUGUAAUGGAACAUGUUUCCAAGUAUUAUUAUUUGCAUGAUGAUUAAUUUGAUAUGUUGACUUGAGUGCAUGCAUGGAGAUCAUUAAUCAGUUUCAGAAAGUAAAAUUUAGAGUAAAACAUCCGCUGGAACUUAAACAUUAAGUAAAAUUGAAUGAAUGUGCAACAAUGAAGAGGAAACAACAAUUUAGAAAUCCAAUACAGUAGAAGCGAGCUUUGAUAUAUGAGAAUCUCAUAAUCAUUAAUCUAUCUUUCGUUGUGUGGCAAAACAACAUGGCAGAUACAUUUGUUUAAAUAAUUUACUUGGGAUUACUUGAUUUGGAUAAUUAAUAACCAUCAGGAGUUGGUGGAGAAGUUUAGUAGUAGUCUGGAGUGCUUGAUGGAGAUGGAGCCGGGGAUGGUGACAAGUUGAAGACAUACUCAGGUGCUAGUGAUGGUGAUGGUAUUGGUGAAGAUUCGUAGAUGUAAGGUGGAGGAGACGCAGAUGGUGAAGAUUCGUAGAUGUAAGGUGGAAGAGACGGAGAAGGUGAGGGUGAUGAUUUAUAAAAGUAGGGAGGAGGUGGUGGAGAUUUGUAGAUAUAAGGAGGUGGAGGAGACGGUGAUGGUGGGGGUGGUGAUUUAUAAAUGUAAGGAGGGGGUGGGGAUGGGGAUGGAGGUGGUGGAGAUUUGUAGAUAUAAGGUGGUGGAGGAGAAGGGGAUGGUGGUGGUGGUGAUUUAUAAAUAUAUGGAGGAGGUGGUGAUGGGGAUGGAGGCGGUGGAGGAGAAGGAGAUGGUGGUGGGGGCGAUUUAUAAAUAUAUGGAGGAGGGGGUGACGGGGAUGGAGGAGGUGGUGAUUUGUAGAUGUAUGGAGGAGGUGGGGAUGAGGAUGGUGGUGGUGGAGAUUUGUAGAUAUAAGGUGGUGGGGGAGAGGGGGAUGGUGGUGGUGGGGAUUUAUAAAUGUAUGGAGGAGGUGGUGAAGGGGAAGGAGGAGGUGGGGACUUGUAAAUGUAUGGUGGGGGUGGUGACGGGGAUGGAGGUGGAGGAGAUUUGUAAAUAUAAGGAGGCGGAGGGGAGGGUGAUGGUGGUGGUGGUGAUUUAUAAAUAUAUGGAGGUGGUGGUGAUGGUGAUGGCGGUGGUGGUGGUGAAGGGGAUGGUGGUGGCGGUGAUUUAUAAAUGUAUGGAGGAGGUGGUGACAGGGAAGGAGGAGGUGGUGAGAGGGAAGGAGGAGGUGGGGACUUAUAAAUGUAUGGUGGAGGUGGUGACGGGGACGGAGGUGGAGGAGAUUUAUAAACAUAAGGAGGCGGAGGGGAGGGGGAUGGUGGUGGUGGUGAUUUAUAAAUAUAUGGAGGAGGUGGUGAGGGUGAUGGUGGUGGUGGUGAUUUAUAUUUAUACGGAGGUGGUGGUGAUUUAUAUGAAUAGUGUUUCGGUGGUGGUGGAGGAGAUUUAUAAAUGUACCGAGGUGAGGGUGAAGUGUAUCCAUACCGUUUUGGUGGUGGAGACGCAUAAACGGAGUACCAACUGUCGUGGGCACUUACACUAGCCGCCACCACACAUAUAGCCGAGACAUAUAACAGGCAAGCCAAAAACUUGGCCAUUUCUAGUCCUAGAACUUCAACUCUUCAAGUAUGAUAUAUAGUAUAUAUAUGAACUGUCAGCCUUCUAUAUGUAUUAGUAAGAUUACUUCAUACUGUGAAGUGUGAAUGCUACAUUAGAUGUAAUAGCCAGACUUUAUAUACUGAUCAUUUCAUGGGUACUUGACUAUGAUGUUUGGGAUAAUCUGGCUGCACUCCUUUGUACAUACUGCAUGAACUAGUCAAAAUAUAUUUAUACAUUCCAGGCUGCCAGUACAUUCCCAGACCUUUUCACAAAUCUCUUCUCCUGAAGAGGACAAAAAACCUGCAAAAUGCAUUUAUGAAUGAACCAAAAAACUAUAGACCUGAUAAUUAAGUGCCAAAUGCCAAUGUUGGACCAAGUUGAAAUAUAUUCAAGAAUCUGAUAUCUGCGUGACUUUUAUUGAAUUGCAGUAUAUAGGAAGAUAGAAUGAGUUUAAUUUUUUUGUUUGGAGCAUCAGUGCCACUGAGACAUCAGAGGACAAGUACAUACAUACAAGCUAGAGACUGAGCAGGUUUUCUGAAUGUUGAAUUGAGUCUGGUUUUACUUAAUUUCUUGACCGUACUACUCGUCAGAGCAUCUCCGAUGGUUGGCACCCUUCAAAGGGUGCCAAUUUUGACACAUAACUCAAAAUAUUAUUUUUUAUAUUCACAUUCUUCCAAAUCAUCAAUGGUUGGCGCUGCAAGACCCAAGUUGCCAACUUUAUUAAUAGAGAAAUAAUUUUUUUUUUGCUAAAUGAGAAAUAAUUUUUUAUGUAUUAUUGGGACCACAAAUCUAUAUUUUAUGUAUUAUUGCGACCACAAAUGAAAUUGGCACCCUACUUUAUGGGUUGCCAACUUUUGGUACCCAAAACCAACUCACUUGGCACCCCAAUAGCACUCUAAGUCUCCAACAUCUCUAAUAACGGUGCCAACGAGAGUGCCGGUCCAUGUCAUGCCACAUGGUAUUGACACCUUCCACCGAGAUGCUCCUAAAAAUCUAGAUUGGUCUCGCUCAUAAUCUUAUCCCGAAUUUUACAAGACCAAACUAGUUAUUUAUUUAUACUAUAUUUUUACAUUGGUUAAUCAGAUUAUGCAAAUGAUAAUGUAAUUAAUGUAUAACAAGAAAAAAAUCAUGAGUACAAUUUUAUAUAUUUUUUACUUGGAAAAUACCUAUUCACUCUCAAAAAACUUAAUAUUAUCAUUAACUACGUAUUGUCAAUAUAUAUUUUUUCAAAUUUUAUUAUUCAGAAUUUUCAAAUAACAAGUUUUAAAUAUUCUUAACAAGUAAUUGUUGAAAUUAUAAUUUCGAUUUUUGUCGAAAUGAUAAGUUUGACAAAUUUUCGUUGAAAUUGAUAUCAUAUAAUAAAAAUUCUAUUAUUAAUUAAUGAGAUGAGUUCUAAUUAGAUAAUGCGAAAAGUCCACCUACAUGACUUAUAUUUAGAUAAUGAAAAAGAGUUUGAUUAAUUAUACUAUAUAUUACAAAUUAAAUUGUAUCCGUUAGCUCAUGAUUAACUUGUACAUGACUUGGAUAAAAUUUAAUGGAAAGAAAAUUGAAGAAUUGAUAUUACUGUUUCAAAAUUUAGGACGGCAUCUGAUUAGUUAUAAAAUAAUUCGUCUUUUCUUAGAUUGCACAAAAUUAAAUUUAAAUUAAUUAAAGUAAAUUUAAAAUUAUGUUAUUAUCUAAUUCUAUUAUUAUUGAGUUAUAUAAUUACAUAUUGAAAAAGAGUAUAAUUAGAUGACUUAUUGUUAGAUAAUGAAAAUGAGUUGAUUAAUUAUAUUAUUAAUAAUAAAUUAUAUUAAUUAAAUUAAUAUGUAGUUUUUUUUGAAAGAAAAAUUAAUAUGUUGUUAGUAUUUUAGUUAAAAAAUUUAAUGGGAGGAAAGUUGAAUGGUGAAUACCUGUUCGAUCCAAAAUUUAGAGAUGAUAUCCGUUGUUCCUAAAUCAGUUUUUUUUAUGGGCUUUUUUUAUUCAUAACCAAGUUUAAAAGAAUUUUUUCGAAAAUACUACCACUUUUUAAAACAAAUUGUAAAAAUACUAACUUCUCUAAAAUCUUUCCAAAAAUAUUAUCUUUUUGAAAAUAUUUUCAAAAAUACGGUGGUUGCAUAUGCAAUCAUAUAUGCAACUGCAAUUCCUGAUUUCAAGUUCCAGUUUUCAAAUGUCAUUUUCGACCUCAUCUUUGGAAUCCAUAUAUAUAUAUNNNNNNNNNNNNNNNNNNNNNNNNNNNNNNNNNNNNNNNNNNNNNNNNNNNNNNNNNNNNNNNNNNNNNNNNNNNNNNNNNNNNNNNNNNNNNNNNNNNNNNNNNNNNNNNNNNNNNNNNNNNNNNNNNNNNNNNNNNNNNNNNNNNNNNNNNNNNNNNNNNNNNNNNNNNNNNNNNNNNNNNNNNNNNNNNNNNNNNNNNNNNNNNNNNNNNNNNNNNNNNNNNNNNNNNNNNNNNNNNNNNNNNNNNNNNNNNNNNNNNNNNNNNNNNNNNNNNNNNNNNNNNNNNNNNNNNNNNNNNNNNNNNNNNNNNNNNNNNNNNNNNNNNNNNNNNNNNNNNNNNNNNNNNNNNNNNNNNNNNNNNNNNNNNNNNNNNNNNNNNNNNNNNNNNNNNNNNNNNNNNNNNNNNNNNNNNNNNNNNNNNNNNNNAUAUAUAUAUAUAUAUAUGGCAUUGCUCAAAGAAGAACACCCUUAAAAGAAGAACACUUUGGAAUCGAACAUAGAAUCUCAUUUAAAACUUGAAUUAAACUCUGAGUUUAAGCUAAUCAAACUUUUAUUAUGAAUAAUAAUAGUAUCAAGCAUGUUUAACAACAAUUAUGGAUAAAAAAUAACAUGAUUCUAUGUAAUAUUAAUCGUGCAAAACAUACAUAUAUGAUUCUAUUCUAGAUUCUACUCUGGAUUCUAUUCUGGAUUCUAUAAUAUUUUAUAUUAAUAAUUUGGAUGAGUUUGGAUUUUAGAUUUUAUAUAUUGAGUAUAAUUGGUGUUUAACUAUGUAAUUAUGAUCUUAACAAAUCGUNUGCUCAAAGAAGAACACCCUUAAAAGAAGAACAAUGAACACUUUAGAAUCGUAUAUAGAAUCUCAUUUAAAACUUGAACUAAAUUCUAAUUUUAAGCUANGUUUUUUGUGAAAAAUAAGGUGUCAUGAUGGUGUUCUGUGAUGUUCUUUUUUUAAAGUGUUCUGUGUGCAACCCAUAUAUUCCAAGGAUGAGGUCGAAAAUGACAUUUGAAAACUAGAACUUGAAAUCAGGAAUUCAGUUGCAUAUAUGGGUGCAACUAAAAACUAUAAGUUACAACGGAUGUAUGGUGUGCCCCUGGCGGGGCCAUUAGAUUUCCUGUUUUGGAUUCUAUUCUGGAUUCUAUAAUAUUUCAUAUUAACAAUUUGGAUUUCUUUGGAUGUUAGAUUUCAUAUAUUAUGUUUAAUUGGUGUUUAAUUAUGCGCAAAUAAAGGCAACUGAAAACUGUAAGUUACAACCGAUGUAUGGUGUGCCCCUGGCGGGGCCAUUAGAUUUAUUUUUUAUGAAAAAUAAAGUGUUAUGAUAGUGUUCUUUUUCUAAAGCGUUCUGUGUGGAGUGCAACCCAUAUAACUCCACACUAUAAAAAAAGAACAUCACAGAACACCAUCAUGACACCUUAUUUUUCACAAAAAAUGAUUUGUUAAGAUCAUAAUUACAUCUAAUGCAACCUCAUAUGCAACUGAAAACUGUAAGUUACAACAGAUGUAUGGUGUGCCCCUGGCGGGGCCAUUGGAUAACAAUAGAAUCAACUGAAUGCAACCAUAUGCAACUGAAUACAACCAUAUGCAACCAUAUAUGCAACUAUAAUUCCUGAUUUCAAGUUCCAGUUAUUGACAUUUGAAAACUGGAACUUGAAAUCAGGAAUUGUAGUUGCAUAUGCAACCACCGUAUUUUUGGAAAAUAUUUUCAAAAAGAUAGUAUAUUUGAAAGAUUUUAGAAAAGGUAGUAUUUUUUAAAAUAAGAUCGGAGAAGGUAGUAUUUUUGACAAUAAGAUUGAAAAAACAGGAUACAAGGUAAUUUACCUUUUAUUUACUUAUUGGUUAACCAGCAGUUCGGAGGUAUUACCAUAUUAUAAUUAAAAUAAACGAUUUUGAGAAGAGGGUAAAAUUACAAACAAAAUUAGAAAAUCAUUAUCAUAUAUAGUGCCUGUUUGGCAAUUCACAAGAAGCGCUUAUUAUUCGUAGAAGCUGAGUUCCGCUUUUCUUGACCCGUUAGUGUAAAAUAACAGAAGCACUUUUUAGAAGUUACAAAUGUUAACUUUUCUCUGACAGCUUCUUUUGCUUAUUUCCCAAACACUUUAAUCACUUAUAAGUAUUAACUUGUUUCUAACUUCUACUUCACAUUUUUACUUUAAUCAAGAAGCACUUAUUUUAAACUCACCCAAACGGCCCCAUAAUUCUUGUUCAAUUAUAAUCAACCUAAUCCAAGUUGCCAUGCAACUAAAAUUCUAAUAUGAUUACUCCUUCCCAUCAUCCCAUGUAUUACCAAACAUCUGUGCAUCCUAUAUAUUAUGGAAUCACAUUGUAUUAAGCCAAAUCGAAUCUAGCCUUGUUCGAAAACCAAUGGCAAGAACAAAGAAAUCGAAGAGAUCAGAGCCACGGAAUCCUGUUUUGCCUAAAGAGAUGGUUGCCAAUAUACUUUGCUGGCUUCCGGGGACGUUACUGGUCCGGUUCAGGUGUGUUUGCAAGACAUGGCAAUCCAUUAUCACAGACCCCUACUUCAUUAAAACUCAGAUGCACUGCAGCCAAAUUAUGGCCAUGAAAAAGGGCUCAUCAUUGAUGAUCACCACGGCGGCCACUUAUAAUAACCGCCCUCGAUACGCCUCCAUAAGCUUUCAGCAUUAUCUACACUUACCAGGACACUACAGAGUUAUUGGAUCAUGUAAUGGUAUUCUAUGUCUUCGAAACAGUGCACGUUAUUAUCUCUGGAACCCGGCAACCAUGCAGUCCAAGGAACUUCCUAAAUACCCUGAGAUUAAUGGAAGGACUAUGAUUUAUUACUUUCAUCAACUUCAACUAGCCUUUGGUUUUGAUGCUCUCUCUGAUAGCUACAAGUUUCUUAGAUUUAUUUGUCCAAAUACAAUUGAACUGAAUGUUGUACCCGUUGUCACUACGCCAUAUAUGGCCUACAACAACAUCGGAAAAAUGAUGCCAUAACCCCAAAAUAUGUUGCAAUAGCCCGAAAAAUGGCUAUUGCAACAUAAAAUUUAAGUUGCUUUUUUCGAUGUUGCCCUAGGCUUCUAUUGCAACAUUAUGAUUAUCUACUGCAACAUGGGGUUUGCUGUUACAAUAGACAUGCUACUGCAACAACCAACUACCCUAUUGCAACUGAAAUUUUAUGUUACGUUAGACCUUCUGAUUUUAAAAAAAAUGGGACCCACAUGUGGGUCAGACACGUGUCAGUCCCAUGUGGAGGUCAAAGUGUGGGGCCCACAAGGGCUACUUUCUACAACAUAUUUUGUACUAAAUAUCUGAAUAUAUGUGUGGUACUGCAACAUUAAACAACUAUUCAAAAGUUUACUAUAUCAACAGCAAAAUUAACUAAUCAUUCAUACAAACCAAAGUUCAAAAAAAAUCCAACCAAACUAAACUACCUAACAAAUCCAACUCAUCCUUUAGGUCUUCUUCACAAAAUCAAUGGUGCAAGAGCCACAUGUUAUAGUGACAUAAAUGUUCACAAAAUCAAUGGUCUUCUAUCACUGGUUUUACCUUCUUUGUGCAGCCCCAGAAGAGGUAUAUUUAGUAACUUUAAUUUUUUACUUUAAUUGUUUCUUUAAUAUUCCAUAUUAUUAACCUGUAAUUCUUAUCAGGAAGUUAAGAAAUAUAAGCUGGGAGUUCCUAAAUCGUUUCACUAUCUUAAUCACAUACUAAGAUUCUCUGCUCUUCAUUUUAUUUAGUUCAAGCUUUUAGUCAAGUAGAAAAUCAACUAGUUUCACCCCAUAUUAUACACAUCAUGACAUCAGUGAAACAGUUCAUUGCCAUGUUAAUGCAACUAAUUAAAACAUUAAUUCAUUAAUGAAUAGUCAGACUACCAGAUACAUAAUAAAAGCUGGUCAAGCUACAAAGACAAACUUUUCAACCUAAAACCGGAGUACCAGAAACAAGCACAUAUACAAAAGCAUACAUCAUAAAAUUACAUACGAUAUACACACACGCCUGUUUUCAAAAUCCAAGAACAAAAUCGGAGUACCUUAAGCUGAAGAAGCGCACAUCAAAGAUUUAAAUCAGUCAAUCCCUAAGGAACCCAAAGCCAGCCUAAAACAGAACAAAGAUAUAAAACAAAUUAGAGAUAGAGUUGAAGGAUCUAAGAAAAGAAACAAUAUAACCAAAAAUCCCUCAAAUCAAAAGCAUGAAAACCCCCAAUUUUGAUUCAAGCACAAAUCAAUUGAAUAAACCCCAUAUUUAAUUCAAAAUCCUGGUGAUUUGUGAGGGCUUUGCUCCAAUUUUACGAUAACGAGUGAAAUCGACCUCAUUUUUAUCUAAAGAGAUGCGGAAAGAGAGAGCGGAGAGAUCGCGAAGAGAGACGAGCUACGGGAGAGAACGAGUCAAUAAAGCGUGUUUGAUACUCUGAUUGUUAGAGAAUCUGGACUUGUGUGAGUACUGCUUUGUGUCCUCAAAAAAUUUGCCGCUUCAAAUUUUGUCCAAAUAUUUGGAGCCCGUCGUGCGACAAAUGAAAAAGCCAUUUCACUUGUUUUAAAAUUUUUAACAUAUUAUUUAUUAAAAAAAUUCUAUUAAAAUGUUUGUCUUUUUCUAAAAAUUAAAUUAUAUAAUUAUUUGAAAUUUAAAAAUUUUAUGUUAAAAACUAGAAUUUUAUUUUACGAUAUGUCUAAUUAUUUAUCAAAUUUAAUAAAUUUCAAGAUUAAAUUAUUCAAUUUCAUAAUAAUUUAAAAACAUAAUCAUUUAAUAUAGUUUUUAUUUUGAAAAAUAUAAUUCAAUUUCAGUAUUAUUAUUUUAUUCAUAAUUAAAUAGUUCAAAUUUAUUAUUUUUAUUACAAUUACUUAUUUUAAAGAGAUAUAAAAAUUAAUGUUGUAUUCUAACAUUUAGUCUUUUCCAAUUUAAUAUAUUAUAUUUUAUCUAUUAAUUAUUUAAAAUUAUUUUAAUUUUGUUUUAUAUAAAUUUUAUUAUCAUAUUAUAAAUAAUUAAUUUACUAAUACUCAAUGCAACACAUGUAUUCGGCUAUUGCAACAUCAAAUGGAUAUUGAUGGUUAUCGUUGCGGUAGGUAUGGAUUAGGGCCUCUAAUGCAACAUAAUUUUGCAACAUUCAAGUUCAUACCAUUGCCGUAGGCCAUAUAUGGCGUAGUGUGUGCAGAUAUAUUCCACUGACACUGAUUCUUGGAAAGAGAUCAAAGUUCAUGAUGAAUUCAUAUCGCAAAUUAUUUGUGGCCCAAAUCUAAAACUUGGUCCGGUUAUUAAUGGAGUAUUGUAUAUGGGCAAUACGGGACACCUAAUAUCAUUCGAUUUGCACACUGAGGUGUUUACUGCAGCUCUCUUGUUCCCUAAAUCCAAGUUAGUGAAGUCUGAGAUUUUUGAUUUCGAAGGCUCUGUUGGUGUCGUCUUUGAAUCCAAAAGGAAAAGGUCACGGACUGGUCUAUGGACGCUAGGUGACCUUCGUGGUGAACGCUAUUGGAUCAAGGAGUUCAAUAUUGACAUACAUUGUGUACGUUCUUAUUUGGGUGGUGGACUGUUUUACGGAAAAACUAGAAAAAACUUUUUGUACAACUAUAGAGAUAAUGGAUUCAAGUCUUUUCCACGUCUAGCUAAGGAACCUCAAGCAGUCUUGAGGUACACAGAGACCCUCGCUUCAGUAGAAGGGUUUGAACGUAGCGUUUUAUUCGUAUCUAAGGUUUAUCCUCAAGUGGAGUAAAUCUGGGUGCUUGCUAUCAUGCUAUGAAUGGAUACUUGAUGAAAACAGUCGUGUGGAUAUAUAGUUAUUAACUUUUGUAGAAGCAGUAUACACAGUGAUAACAAGGAAGAUGAGAACUAGAGAAAGAGAAUAGAACCAGAAAGCAAAUUGUAAUUCUGAAACUGUCAAAUCUGUUUGUUACAACUUGUUCAGCAAGCUAUAUACACAAGCACCAACUAAGUAAAAGACCAUAGCACCCUUAACUAAUAUUGAAUUUACUGUAAACAGUAAACUCCUCAGACUUUAUCAGUCCCCCUCAAGCUGAGCAGCCACAGUAGCUCCAAGCUUGCUCAUCAGAUACUUGUGUUUGCUUAAUAAGUCCGAAGAUUUUCAGUUUGGUUGUUCUCUACUUACAUUCUCUGCUGUGAAUGGAUACACUGUCAUAUCUUAUAAUUGUUAGACAUAUGGUUAAGUCCUUUUAAACUUGUCCGAGCUCCCAGGAGUUCUAAAUUGGGUGCUCUGUACCUAUAUUCUCGCUUAUAAGGUGCUUUUUUUCCUUCUUUUUUAGCAGUUAACGUUCUAGUUCCGGAGCGUGAUCUAAUUUUUCAUCCUUAAGUUGAGUUGUUUAUGUUUGCUUGUGAAUAUUGUACUUCGAAGUUCGAAGUGCCUCUACAGCUACCAGUCAAUUUGUUUGAAUUAUAACUUCUGGAGUUUCCUCCCAGUUAAGUGUGUCUUUAUAGUAGAGACUUCAACUAAUCACGAAGCACCACACCUGCCUUACAACUGAAAAGGAAAGGCGAGCGGACGAAGGACCUUCCCGUGGCCUUUUGGCGCGACUUUCGAGGGGGAAUUCAAGUCGGGUCGGAUGGACGGGUUCUCUAUUUUUAUUGGAUCCGACAGUGAUAGUUAGGGGUUAGUUGUUCUAUAAAGAAAGGGGAUUAUGAUGGUUGCUUUUGAGUUGAUUUAUAGUUUGUUGUUUUAGUUGCUUUUUAGGUUGCAUGUUAGAAUUGACCCCAUCUAAGGUGUUUUUCACCCGCCUUUUGCAACCAGUUGCAACUUAUUAUGCAAAUAAAUAUAAUUUUCAAAUUUUUUUUCUCAAAGUUGCAUUUCAAAGUUGGAUCAGGUUGCUAGCAGUUGCACAUGUGGUUGCAUAUUUUUGAAAAUAUUUUCAGGGAUAUAGUAUUGUUUCAAUUUGUUUUAAAAAGUGAUAGUAUUUUUGCAAAAAUUCUUUUAAACUUGAUUAUGUAUAAAAAUAGCCCUAAAAUUUAAUGGAGGGAAAGUUGAAGAAUGAAUAAUACUGAACUAAAAUUUAGGAUAGCCUCUGAUUGGUCAUAAAUUAAUUCAUCUUUUCUUAAAUUGAAUUAAAUUAAUCUAAAACUACUUAAAGUAAAUUUGAAAUUAUUUUAUUAUCUAUCCUAUUAUUAUUGAGUUCUAAAUAGAUAAUGAAAAGGAAUCUAAUUAGAUGAGUUAUAAUUAGAUAAUGAAAAAGAGUUGAUUAAUUAUAUUAUAUAAAUAAUAAAUUGUAUUAGUAAUUAACUCCUGAUUAAUUUGUAUGUGGUUUAUAUUUUUGUUAAAAUUAGGACGGAAGUUGAAUGAAUUUUUUUUUUAAUUUUUGAGAAUGAGUUGAAUGAAAUAAUUGUUCCAAAAUUUAGGAAUGAUAUCGAUGGUCCUAAAUUAAUUUCUAUUUAGUGAUAGGUUAACUAUAGUAUGCAUGGUAGACCAAGUAUUACCAUAUUAUAAUAAAAGAGUUUGAAAAAAGGGUAAAAUUACAAACAAAUUUAGAAAAUCAUCAUCAUAUAUGUAAUUUUACUUAAAUUAUUAUUCAACCUAUAUAAUCCAAGUUGCCAUGUAACUAAAAUUCUAACAUUAUGAUUGUAAUCCUUCCCAUGUAUUACCAAACAUCUGUGCAUCCUAUAUACUAUUAUGGAAUCACAUAGUAUUAAGCCAAAGCGAAUCUAGGGCAAGAACAAAGAAAUCGAAGAGAUCAGAGCCACGAAAUCCUGUUUUGCCUAAAGAGAUGGUUGCCAAUAUACUUUGCUGGCUUCUGGGGACGUUACUGGUCGGGUUCAGGUGUGUUUGCAAGACAUGGCAAUCCAUUAUCACAGACCCCUACUUCAUUAAAACUCAGAUGCACUGCAGCCAAAUUACGGCCAUGAAGAAGGCCUCAUCAUUGAUGGUCACCAGGGCGGCCACUUAUAAUAACCGGCCUCGAUUCGCCUCUAUAAGCUUUCAGCAUUAUUAUCAACACUUACCAGACCACUACAGAGUUAUUGGUUCAUGUAAUGGCAUUCUAUGUCUUCGAAACAAUGGACGUUGUUAUCUCUGGAACCCGGCAACCAUGCAGUCCAAGGAACUUCCUAAAUACCCCGAGAUUAAUGGAACAGCUAUGAAUUAUACUCAAUUAGCCUUUGGUUUCGAUGCUCUCUCUGAUAGCUACAAGGUUCUUAUAUUUAUUUGUCCAUAUAAUGUUUACUGCAGCACUCUUGUUCCCUAAAUCCAAGUUAGUGAAGUCUGAGAUUUUGGAUUUCGAAGGCUCUGUUGCUGUCGUCUUUGAAUCCAAAAGGAAAAGGUCACGGACUGGUCUAUGGACGCUAGGUUACCUUCGUGGUGACCGCUAUUGGAUCAAGAAGUUUAAUAUUGACAUACGUUAUUGUGUGCGUUCAUAUUUGGGUGGUGGACUGUUCUGCGGGAAAAAUAGAAAAAACAUCUUGUACAACUAUAGAGAUGAUGAAUUCAAGUCUUUUCCACGUCUAGCUAAGGAACCUGAAGCAGUCUUAAGGUACACAGAGACCCUCGCUUCAGUAGAAGGGUUUGAACGUAGCGUUUUAUUCGUAUCUAAGGUCUAUCCUCAAGUGGAGUAAAUCUGGGUGCUUGCUAUCAUAGCGUGUGGAUAUAUAGUGAAGUUAUUUCAUAAGUCCAAAGAUUUUCAGUUUGGUUGUUCUCUACCUACAUUCUCUGUUGUGAAUGGAUACACUGUCAUCUAUACUAUCUAUCUAUACUAUAAUAAGCAACAUGGGUAUAAUUUUGUAGUCCAAGCUUUUAGUUUUUGUCUAUACUAUAAUAAGCCAACAUGGGUAUAAUUUUGUAGUCCAAGCUUUUAGUUUUUGGUUUGGUACUGUGCUUUUGGUACUACAAGUCUACAAAUGUGGAGUAUAUUAGUAUUAUAAAUAGUUUCAAAUACUAAAAACACUCAUAACAAUACAUUAUCAUAUAAUAUUUCGUUAAAAAAAUUAUAAUGAUGUUAUAAAUAAAAUUAUAAAUAUAUAAUUUUGAAUAUCUUUUUUUAACAAAAACCUUCAUAUAACUCUUUUUAACUUUAACGUGUUCUAUUUCAAUAUAACCAUUACAUAACCCUUUCUAAUUCUAAUCUUAAAAGUUAUUGUUGUCAAAAAAACCAACGUUACAAAAUUACGUUGAAAUUCGAUUGAUCAGAUUACUGAAUCUUUCAAAGUUAUUACACAAUCGGCUAUGUUUGGAAAAGAUUAGAAUUUUCUGAUUUUUUUAUUUUUAAAUCUACGUGUACUAAAUUCAGAUUAAAUGUACUAAAAUCCUAAUAUAUAUUGUCAAUUUUUAAGUAAUCGGGAGAAAAUAUAGUUAGUUGAAUAAUAUAAUUUAAUUAAAAUUCAAUCUAUUAAUACUAAAAUACUAAUAAAUGAUGUUAAAAUUUAAAUUAUAGAUAAUAAAUUACGAACUAUAUAUACCCGCCCGUGCUUCGCACGGGUUAAAAGCUAGUAUCUUAUAAUUGUUAGACAUAUGGUCAAGUCCUUUUAAACUUGCUAUCAUCACUACAGAAAAACAUGUCAAAACCGACCAUACAAAUUGGUCGGUUAUGAAUGUAAUCGGUCGGUUAUAUAGCUAAAACCGACCGAUAAAGGUGGUCGGUUAAAUCCUGGUCGAUUACGUUAAUUGGUCGUGUUUAACAUUAAAACCGACCGUAUGGGUGGUCGGUUAUUUGUUGUUGUAUUCCCAGAAAAAUGGUCCUGAUGCCACCUGCAGAGUAUUUAAACAACAAACUAGAGCUUUGAUAAUAUUUUAAAGGUUAAUAGGCUAAAAAAUAAUUGAACUGAUUCAAAAUUUAAUGGAAAUAAAAUUGAAGAAUUAUAUUACAGGUCCCAAAUUUAAGGCGACAUCUGAUUGGUCAUAACAUAAUUCGUCUUUUCUUAAAUUGAUCAAAAUAAAAUUUAAAAUUACUUAAAGUAAGUUUAAAAUUAUGUUAUUAUCUGAUUCUAUUAUUAUUGAGUUAUAAUUAGAUAAUAAAAAGGAGUAUAAUUAGAUGAGUUAUAAUUAGAUAAUGAAGUUGAUUAAUUAUAUUAUAUAAUAAUAAAUUGUAUUAGUUAACUCGUGAUAUGUGGUUAAUAUUUUGGUUAAAAAUAGAAGGGAAGUUGAAUUGUGAAAUCGAUUGCUCCAAAAUUUAGAGAUCAUAUCUGUUGGUCCAAAACCAAUUUUUAUUUACUUAUCGGUCAACGUUGCCAUGUAACUAAAAUUCUAAUAUGAUGAUACCUUCCCAUGUAUUACCAAACAUCUGUGCAUCCUGUAUAUUAUGGAAUCACAUAGUAUUAACCCAAGUACCCAACGCGAAUCUAGCCUUGUUCGAAAAACAAUGGCAGGAACAAAGAAAUCGAAGAGAUCAGAGCCACGGAAUCCUGUUUUGCCUGAAGAGAUGGUUGCCAAUAUACUUUGCUGGCUUCCUGGGACUUCACUGGUCCGGUUCAGGUGUGUUUGCAAGACAUGGCAAUCCAUUAUCACAGACCCCCACUUCAUUAAAACUCAGAUUCACUGCAGCCAAAUUAUGGCCAUGAAAAAGGGCUCAUCAUUGAUGAUCACCACGGAGGCAACUUAUUAUAACCGGCCUCGAUUCGCCUCUAUAAGCUUUCAGCAUUAUCUACACUUACCAGAACACUACACAGUUAUUGGAUCAUGUAAUGGUAUUCUAUUUCUUCGAAACUAUGUAUGUUGUUAUCUCUGGAACCCGGCAACCAUGCAGUCCAAGGAACUUCCUAAGUGCCCCGAGAUUAAUGGAAAAGCUUUGAAUUAUAACUUUCAAACUCAAGUAGCCUUUGGUUUUGAUGCUCUCUCUGAUAGCUACAAGGUUCUUAGAUUUAUUUGUCCAGAUAAAUUUAAACCUAAUGUUGUACCAAUUGUGCAGCUAUAUUCCACUGAUAUUAAUUCUUGGAAAGAGAUCAAAGUUCAUGAUGAAUCCAUAUCGCAAAUUAUUUGUGGCCUGAAUCGAAAACUUGGUCCUGUUAUUAAUGGAGUAUUGUAUAUGGGUCAUAACGGACACCUAAUAUCAUUCGAUUUGCACACUGAGGCGUUUACAGCACUCUUGUUCCCUAAAUCCAAGAUAGUGAAGUCUGAGAUUUUGGAUUUCGAAGGCUCUGUUGCUGUCGUCUUUGAAUCCAAAAAGAAAAGGUCACCGUCUUUGAAUCCUGGAGACGGCCCUGACUCACCGACUGGUCUAUGGACGCUAGGUUAUAACCUUCAUGGUGAACGCUAUUGGAUCAAGAAGUUUGAUAUUAACAUACGUAGUGUACGUUCUUAUUUGGGUGGUGGACUGCUUUACGGAAAAAAUAAAAAAAAGAUCUUGUACAACUAUAGAGAUAAUGAAUUCAAGCCUUUUCCACGUCUAGCUAAGAAACCGGAAGCAGUCUUGAGGUACACAGAGACCCUCGCUUCAGUAGAAGGGUUUGAACGUAGCGUUUUAUUCGUAUCUAAGGUCUAUCCUCAAGUGGAGUAGUAAAUCUGAGUACUUGAUGGAAACAGUCGAUAGCGUGCUUCACGUGGAUAUAUAGUGAAGUUACUUGAUAAGUCCAAAGAUUUUCAGUUUGGUUGUUCUCUACCUACAUUCUCUGCUGUGAAUGGAUGCACUGUCAUAGUAUCUUAUAAUUGUUAGACAUAUGGUUAAGUUCUUUUAAACUUUUCCGAGCUCCCAGGAGUUCUGAAUUGGGUGCUCUGUACCUAUAUUCUCGCUUAUAAGGUGCUUUUUUUUCUUUCCUUCUUUUAUUAGCAGUUCAUGUUCUAGUUCCGGAGCGUGGCCUAAUUUUUCAUCUUUAAGUUGAGUUGUACAUGUUUUAUUGCCUGUGAAUAUUGGCCUAAUCUGUACGUUUUUCAUAAAAUAGAGCCCCGAACAUGUUAAUUUUAAUAGUGCCAUCAUAGGAGGACAUGACCAAGUUGGUGUAUCAUCCUUUGCAGUAAAAUUUACAGUAUAAUUCAAAACUUCAGAGCUCCGAGCAUUUUGCCACAGCUGUACUACCAGUUUAGCUGUCCUCAUGACGCAGUGCAAAGGUGUAAGAUCAUCAAACAUUAACACUACAAGAAAAAAGCUAAUAGACAUCAGUUUCUGGCCGAUGUCUUUAGUUUUUUAGACCGAUGUUGAUGUCGGUGAUGUCUAUUCUAGACAUCAGUCGACAACCGAUGUGAAAACCUUACUCACACAUCAUUUUUUUACUGAUAUUCAGAUGUCUAUGCCACCAUUUCUUACAAAAUAUAUUACUUUUACUUAAGUUUAUACUAAAGUUACUUGCAAUUUAAGACAUAUAACAUGUAAUGACACUAACUAAUUAAAGGCUUGAACAUCAGGUUUUACACAAGAAAGUGAUUUCUAUUUUGUUUUAAACAUCACCUUGUACUGAUGUCAUUGUCUCUAUAGACAUCGAUUCCUUUAGAAAAUAACUAAUGUACUUAACAAUUUUUUACAUCGUCUUCAGAUGAUGUCUAUUUUUGUAGAGACAUCAGUCUUUACAGAAAAAUUGUGAUGUGCAUUCUUCCAAUAGACAUCUCUUUGAGGUGAUUACUUUAUUAUUUUUAGACAUCUGUUUUAAAGCAAAAAAACUGAUUUCUAUCUUAGUUUAAGACAUCAAAAUUUGUUGAAAAAUAUGAUGUGCUUCUUACAAAUAGAUAUUACUUUCUAAGGUUAUAUUAAAAAAACUAAUGUCCAUCCAUGCACAAACAGAAUUUAAAAAACUGGCAUCCAUAAUAUACCAGCCUGAAUAUAUAUUGCACCAUCCAAAAUACACAUCCAAAUCUACUUCAAUCCAACCAAACAAAUUCAAUUUGCAAAACCAACAACAAUUCUGCCAUCAACCAACAAACCAACUACUACACAAAGCCAACUAAGAUCAUACGUCGUUCAAUACGCAAAACAAACUACUAAAUACUUAAGCAUAUGCAAACCACUUAUCAUUGUACCCAUUCAAUCCACAAAAGCUACCAAAAAACUACUAGUUACUGCAUAUCAAGUUGUUCACAGUAGAAACCUCCAUUUGUCCGCAACCAAACUGUUUAGACAGUUGAAACCUCGACUGCUAAGAAAGUACUGGUCAUAUGUGGUCCUGGCAGAACUGGAGAGCCUCAAUACGCACUUCAUCAAGCUGCUCCUCGGUGUAAGAAACUCGACUCUUGGCCAGCCACUAACAAAUUCAUGAAAAUUGAUAAGUGCACGUAUAUAACUAAAAGGUAUCUGAUAUAUAUAUAGCAAAACAACUAUGCAUACCUUUGAAGUAAAACUUAAUCUUGUGUCAGUGAUAAUUUCUUUCAUGUAACGCAUGACUACGUAACCGCAUUCAUGGCCACCAGGUUGUUUGGGAGAUCCCUAUUUGAAAAAUUAAAAUUACACCUCAAUUAAACUACUUAUUAACUAUAACUAUGUACUCAAAUGAUAAAGUGUAAAAGUACUUACACUUAAAAACUUUGCCUUAGCUGGCUUGUUGCUCCUACCAGUUUCAGAAUUAAAAGUCUUAAUCGCGCUACAUAUACAAUGUACACGGUUUCAGAAUUGACGUUUAAUUUCCAUCAAAAUGUUAAUUAAGAAAAAUAAAAAAUUACCUUGAUAACUCUUUUUCAAGCUCUGGAAAUUGUGUUGGGUGAGGGAGCGGAUUGAGAAUAUAUAUUUCGCCUUCCCAAAUAAUAGUUAGAAUCCAAUGCAUACUGUUUUCAUCAAAAAUUAUAAACAUUUUACAGCAGAUGUUUCUUAUACAGGUUUUUAAUAUAAGUAAAAUUUAAUAAACAACUUACUUCUGAUUGUGUGGCCAAAAGAACAGCCGAUCCGGGUUACCCUCUUUCAACCGUUCAACAAUGUAUUUUUCAAAAUUGGCAUUUAAGUGAUAAGUGGAUCCCGGGUCAAUAAAUGCAAAUGUCUCCGCCAGUGUUUGUUGUAGGUUUUUAAUAUAAGUAAAAUUUAAUAAACAACUUACUUCUGAUUGUGUGGCCAAAAGAACAGCCGAUCCGGGUUACCCUCUUUCAACCGUUCAACAAUGUAUUUUUCAAAAUUGGCAUUUAAGUGAUAAGUGGAUCCCGGGUCAAUAAAUACAAAUGUCUCUGCCAGUGUUUGUUGUUCAGAGAUCUCAUUAUGCAGGUGCCUACGAAAAAGAGUGCAAACAUUAUAACUACGAACAACUAGCAAAUUAACAGAAAAAGAAAAAGAAAAUAGAAAAUUAACAGAAAAAGAAAACUUACGCCAUGUAAGCUGCAAGUACAGCUUGUCCUAGCAUUUUAAACUACAACAAUGACAAGAUAUUCUCAUCUAUCAAGUAAACUGUCUUUUCAUGUCCAAACACAUCCGGAUAGCAUACAAGCUUUAUCGAAACGCCUGUAUUUUUCAUCCAGAUUGUUGCGUGUUUGUACAAUAAAUUAAAGCCUUUCGGCACCUUUCGACUUGGCUUCACACUAAUGAACUGCGACUUAAUUUUCUGCAACUGAUCAUUCUGAUUUUUUUGUGCACUUGGCCGCAACCUAUCUUUCUUCUUAACCUGUAGAUAAUCAAACCAUAAAAAAUGUCAAGUAUACACAUCACAUAUAUAUUCCUACUACGAAUCAAAAUUCAACAUCUCAAACAAAGAAUUCACAUACCACUGCAGUUGUGUAGCUGAUUAAUUCCUCAGGCCAUGCUACAAAAGAGCCAAGUGCAUCGCGGACUAUCACCAUUUCACCACGUAUCGGCACCGGAAGCAAGGCAUCUGGUUUGAUGAGGCACACUUAUGGCCAUCUGGUAUAUCAAUUCCAUGAACUUUUUCUCUAUCCACGCUAGGAUACACCAUACCAAAUGCAACUUUAUUUUCUUUCUUGUCCACAGAUAAUUCACAAGAUCUUUGCCCCUACAAUACGUAAAUGACCAAAUUAAAAAAAUUAAGGCAAAAAGAAUUUAUAAAUUCAGGAAAUUAUUUAAUUAAAUACAAAAAAUUCAGGAAAUUAUACCGAAACUGCAGGAGGUGUAGGCUUAGGUUGAUCAUACAUGACACAUUCCUCAUCAUCAUCCACAUUUGCCUUUUCAAGCUGUGGACUUUCCUUUUCAGGCUGGGAACUUGCCUUUUCAGGCUGCUUUGGGGACUGAGGACCAACACUUGAAGCAAACAUUGCCUUUAACUGAGCAAUCUCUGCCUCAAGAGCCUGCAUCUUUUUCUCCGUCUUUUCAUCCCUUUGCCGAUCACGGGCCAUCAACUCUUCCUUUGUGAUUCGAAUUUUUUUCUCUCUCGGCAGCUUAAAGUAUUGUUUUGGGGUUAUGUACCCUCCAACAGCCCGGACCUUUCCGGAAUGCUCUUGACUCUCCAAAGCUGUGGUAAGAACAUCUUCAGCUCCAUAGAACUCUAAUUCACCUGCCUUUUUCUUUUCCAACAAAUCAUUCUAUUGACAUAAAAGAAACAGAAUUGGUCAAAAAAUCAAGAAAUUUAUAUUUUAAUUAUAAUUGAUGGCCCUACUAGCUAGUAUGCAAAUAUAAUUUAGAAAGCUUACAAUUUUUGUGCAUACAACAGCAAAUUCAUCAUCGACCUCUGAAACCUCGUCGACCUCAUCGACCUCUGAAACCUCGUCGACCUCAUCGACCUCUGAAACCUCGUCGACCUCAUCGACCUCUUCAACCUCAUCGACCUCUUUAACCUCUUCGACCUCUUCGUCAAUUUUUCGCUUACGAGCCAUUUUCCAUAAAAUGGCUCUAUCAGGUUCGACACCUGGCUCCAACUUGCCUUUUUUGAUCUGUUAAAUUGCAUUUUCCAUAAAAAGUUGUUAAGUUGUUAAAAUCCAUGAUAACUGUGCAGAGAUAAAAGUGUUCUUACUUCAUCUUCUUUUAAACCUAUAUAACCCUUCCUGGACAAGCGGUGAUGAUACUUUCUUUGAGAAACCCUGUUGCUUUGUGCUUCAUUGAUUUUCUAAGAACAACAUCAGCAAAUUACAUGUCAUAUAUGUGCAAAAUAGUAAAGUGAACAGAAAAUUGAGUAGCAAAAUUAAGAGUGCAACAAAUUAUACCGUCCAGGCAGAAUUUGUCCUCUGUUUCACAAAUCGCUUCCAGGUGGACUUGCUAACAUAAGCAUAUCUCCUUGGUGGCUUACUCAACUUUUUCUUGUCUCCAACAAAUGGCAGCACAAACUUCCUCGUCAAAUCAGUUUUAAAUUGUCGCCAUUUCGAGCCAGCAGACUUUAAGACAAUGUCCUCACAAUGUGGACCUAUUUUAAAUGUCGACUGGAAAAUACACAAAUAAGAUAUGAAUUUUAAUAUUACGUUAAAAAUGUGAAUAUAGAAAUGCAUUAUUACAAACUAAAGCAUUAUUACAAAGUACCUGAAUAUCCAUCCAAAUCUUUGCUUUUAAUUCAGGAUCAACCUUGGGCCAACUCUCAAUAUCGAUUGGAACUGUAGUCCUGGCCAACAUACCGAUGUAGGACUGCAAUCGGGCCCUUGUUUCCCCGUUAGGCAUUCCAUACUCAUCACAAGUGACUUUAGACUUUUUCCCAUGAGCCUUCUUCACAAUUACUUUGUACAUUGCGCAUACCCCGCGCUUACCUCCAGAUUCUUUUACAACUGUCCCAGUCGUGUUAACAGUUGGUUGCUCUGAUCCAGCUUGUUGAGGUUCCGAUGCCUGCAAUUCUUGGUUUUCUUGGAUUUGUGAUGCUGUGAUCUCAUUCUCCAGUAGUUUAGUGUCUCCACUUGCAUUACCAGCCUUCUGUGUUUUCUUUUGCUUUUUAGGUGCCAUGUUUCAAUCUGCACAAAUAACACACACACAUUAUAAGUCCACAGUAACUCAAAUAAAAUGCCAAAUUCAAACAAUAUGCAUAUUUCAAACAAUAUGCAAAAUUCAAUCACAGCUAUAAUGUAAAAUGCAGAGAAAAUUCAAACAAUUACAAUGCAAACAAUUCAAACAAGUACAUAUUGCUAAAUUUAACAGAUACAAUUCAAUCAAGUACAUAUUGCUAAAUUUAACAAGUACAAUUCAAACAAGUAUAUAUUGCUAUAUCACUGCUUAACCCAAAUCCCCUCUACAUUUUCUCUUUUAUUACUAACAGUUGCAUCAACACUAAUAGUAGGGUCACAUAUCGGGAUAUGGCAACAGAACGGGGGAGGAUUCCACGAUAUCUCCUCUGGAACAUCUUCGUCAUACAGGGCAUGAUAAUCUCUAGUUGUCGAUGAUAACACAACUGACCAAUGAGCAUCACAUGGAUCCUCAACAUAAAAUACUUGGUUGACUUGGUCAACAGAGACAUAUUUGUCCUUCUUGUGGCCUGGUCGAUUGAAGUUCACGAGUGUAAAGCCAAGAUCAUCGGACUUGAUACCUAUGUCAUUUGAUGCCCAUGUACACAAAAAUAAAGGGGCCUUGAAUGCAUGGUAGUCUAACUCCCAUAGUUCUUCUAUAAUGCCAUAAAAUGUUAAAUCACCCUCUAUAGGAUUUAUAUCCUUAGCACUGGACACUUGGACUGUCCUAGCAACUAAUGACACGCCGCUGUUUUGAACUACCCUAGCAUUAUCUCGCUCCUUUGUGUGGUAUCGGACCCCGUCAACCACAUAGCCUUCAUAAGUCAACACUGAAUAAGAUGGUUUUCCUGCCAACCAUCUUAUUGUUUCUGAAAUGGCUUUCCCGUCACUGAUUUCUGUACUCACCUGCACAUAAAGUCAUAAGGCCUAUAAGUUGAUAUCAAGUAAAUCACAAAUUGAAGAAAAUUGAAAUAAAAUAGGAGAAGAAUGUCACCCAACUGUCUGUUGAAACCAGUCUGCAAAUUGUCGAUUGUGCUCUCCCAAUAGCCAUUGUGCACCCUUCUUUUUUCCUUCGUAAAUUCUUUCCAAAUAUUCCUUAUGCAACCUGAUCAUAAUUACAUUAAAUAAGAAUAAACCAUUAUAAAAAGGGACUACUACAGGACUUAUAAGAAAUACUACGUAUAAAUAAUUUACUUACUUAAUAUAUGCUUCCACUUCAAUAUUAUUAAGGAGGACUGUGAGAUGUGCCUCAUCUCGUUCCUUUUCUGCCACCGACUUCAUUGUCACGCCACCAACUGGACCAGAAAAAUUUUCAUCUUUGUCAAGACCAGCAGUUCUGCUACUCUCGGUAAAGAACCCCGUGCAAAAUUCAAUUGAUUCUUCUUUAAUAUAACCUUCAGCUAUACAACCUUCCGGAUAAAAUCGGUUCCGUACAUAACUCUUCAAUAUUUUAUUAAAUCGUUCAAAUGGAAACAUCCACCUAUAAAAAACCGGGCCACAUAAACGCAAUUCCCUUACUAAGUGGACUGUUAGAUGUAUCAUAACAUCAAAAAAUGAUGGAGGGAAUAUUUUUUCCAACUCGCACAAGGUCAGAAUCACAUCUGAUUGGAGUUUACUCAAUCUGGACACAUCUACGACUUUGUUGCACAAAGAGUUGAAGAAAAAGCAUAAUCUGAUUAUACUUACCCUUACAUUUUUCGGAAGCACGGAACGAAUACAAACCGGUAGUAACUGUUGGAGGAGGACAUGACAAUCAUGGGACUUCAGCCCAUACAACUUCAAAUCAGGCAUUGAGACACAAUUUUUAAUAUUGGAUGCAUGUCCAUAUGGUAGUUUCAUAUUGGACAAUGAUCCCAACAUUAUUUUUUUUUUCUAGACAAAGUAAAAGGGGCAGGAGGUAAGUAUGUCCUCUUUUCUCCUAUUUCAGGAGCUAAAUCAGGCCUUACACCCAUCUCAACCAUAUCAAGAUGAGAGGCAACGCUGUCCUUAGUCUUGAAUUUCAGGUUAAGUAGUGUCCCAAUUAUGUUAUCACACACGUUCUUCUCGAUGUGCAUAACAUCUAAACAAUGACGAACGUGGUGAAACUUCCAAUAUUCUAACUAGGGGUGAACAAAAAACCGUUUAACCCGCAAAAUCGACCCAACCCGCCCUUUAUUUCGGCCGACCAAACCGAACCGUUCCAAACCGAAUAAAUAAUUGGGUUCAAUUUUUUAUAACCCGAAUAAAUUGGGUUGGUUUAGGGUUUUUAAAUAAUUAACUCCCACCCAACCCAACCCAACCCGUUUAAAGAUAAUAAAUUUAUAUAUUAUUUUAUCAUGUUUAAUUAUGAUUCAAGUGAAUGUUAGAGUCUUAGAGGUAAUAUUAUACUAGAAUAAAACAAAUUUCUCAAAUUAUGUCAAGGGCUUACCAUUUUGAUUUAGAUGCUACUGCUUUCAUCGGAAUUUAACAGCAAUUAUCAAUAUAGUUGAUAGUUUAUUCCUUUGUAAGGUCAUGAGAUGAUUUAAAUAUUAUUUUGUAGUUCUUUUCUGUUCUAAAGGUGAGCAUAGAAUGCAGGCCACAUGUAAUAUACAAGUACAGUGGUUGAUAUGUUAGCACACUUGAUAUGUUAGCACACUGGACACUGGUUGAUAUAUUUUGGCAUGGAUAAAUGAUGCUUCUGCAUUUAAGGAUUUAAGAAUUUAUUAAUAUAAUAUUUAAGAAUAUAUGUUUUGCACCAUUAAAAGUUUAUAUUUUGUAGCUUUUGAGUUUUAAUUUUGAUAGAAGAAAACCCGAUAAACCCGACCCUACCCAACCCUACCCGCCAUAUUAAUAAUAGGGUUGGGUUGAAAAUAUUUUUGAGGGUUAACGGGUUCGAAUAUUAAAAACCCGAUUAUAUUGGGUUGGGUUGAAUUUUCGUCACCAACCCGGCCAACCCGACCCGUGUUCACCCCUAAUUCUAACUCAAAAAAAAAUUGAUUUUUUCUUCCAUGCAUACUCCACCUUUUUCGACUUUCCCUCUUUCCCAAAACUGAAUUCAAGUUUCUGUUGUUGCGCCAACACUUCUUCUCCGCUGAGUGGCUCAGGUGCAUCACCAAGUUCUUGUUCUCCAUCAAAAGCCAUUCGCUGCCUCCUAUAAGGAUGAUGACGGUCUAAAUAUCGACGAUGACCUAGGUAACACAUUUUCCUACUAUGAUUUAAAUAUUUAGCCACAGUUUGAUCACCACAGAUUGGACAAGCCAUAUAACCCUUAUUUAUGCAGCCUGACAGAUUUGCGUAUCCCGGGAAAUCAUUCACUGUCCAUAUUAGAACUGCCUUGAGAGUGAAGUAGGAUUUACUAUGUGCAUCAUAAACAUUUGGUUCACCCUCCUCCCAUAAUUUUUUUAAAUCAUCGAUUAAUGGCUGUAGAUAUAUGUCAAUAUUAUUUCCAGGCUCGUGCGGGCCGGAAAUCAAUGUUGUUAACAUCAUAAACUUCCUCUUCAUGCAUAAUCAUGGAGGAAGAUUAUAUGUUACUAACAUAACUGGCCAACAGCUAUACCGAUUGUUUAAUCCAUUAUUAUAUGGAUUUAUACCAUCUGCCGCUAAUCCUAAGCGUAUAUUUCUGUCCUCACUUCCAAACUCAGGCCACCUACUAUCUACAUUUCUCCAAGAAGGGGAAUCAGAUGGAUGACGCAUCUUUCCAUCUUUAGAUCGAUUAUUCGCAUGCCAACUCAUUAAUUUAGCAGUAUCAGCAGAUUUAAAAAGCCGUUUGAAUCUGGGGAUUAUCGGAAAAUACCACAUAACUCUCGCUGGAACGUUAAUCCUAACUUUACCGUCUUUUCCAAUUUUUCAGCGAGAAAUUUGGCACUUUGGACACUCAUAUAAAGACUCGAGAACUGGACCCCUGUAUAAUACACAGUCAUUUGGACAAGCAUGGAAUUUAACAUACUCAAGUCCUAAAUCAGUCAAGGUUUUCUUCGCUUCAUACAUAUUUGGCGGAAGCACAUUACCUUUAGGAAGAAACGAGCCAACAGAUUCAAGAAGAUCAGUGAAGGCCUUAUCACUAACUCCAAACCUAGCCUUCCAAUUAUGUAAUUUCAAGACUGACUCUAGUUUGGUGCACUCACUUCCCUCCAAAAGAGGUUGUUCCGCAUCGGAAACAAACCUCAUAAAGUCAUCUGAUUCAUUAUCGCAUUCUCCAUCAUUAUAGGCUGCUUCACAUACUUUAACCGUUUCGGUAACGUGUGUUGGAAUUUUAGCAGGGCAAGAACUACCCGCAUGUGAGUUAAUAAAGUUACCAACCUCUUCCCCAUGCCAAAUCCAAUCCAAAUACCCUAAACUAAACCCAGAUUCAUAUAGAUGACCCCUGAUUGCAUUGACAGAAGUUUUUUUGAAGUUAGCACAACGUGAACAGGGGCAACGUAUCUUCUUUGGGUUUUUAGCAUUUUCCUCCGCGAAAAUCAAGAAAUUUUCUACACCAAUUUCAUACUGUAAGGAAUCUCUAUCUGCCUUUAUCCAAGACUUGUCCAUUUGAAACCACCUGGUAUGUCACUAAAAUUCAGACCUAAUUUUAUGAUUAAAUAUUAUUAUGUAUAUCUUAUGACCUAUAUUUCAUUUAGCCUACAUCAACCAAACUUACAACAACAGCCUACAUUCAUUUAAUCAAAUGCACAUAUAAUUUAACCACACACUAUACAAACUACAAGAACAAUAAACAACAUAUAAACACAGGAACAACAACCACAGUCAUGUAAUACAUGGUAACUAUCCACAAACUUAUCCUAAAAACAUAUAAACAAGUAACAAAUAACAACCAGAACUGAGAGAGAGAGCUGAGAGAGCGGCAGAGAGAGAGCUGAGCAGAGCUGAGCGGAGAGAGAGCUGCGAGCGGAGGUGGAGAGUGGCGAGAGAGAGCUGAGAGCGGAGGAGGUGGUGAGCGGAGCUGAGGUGGAGAGAGGAGGAGCGGCGCGGAGAUCGUCGAGAGAGAGGUGUGAGUGAGAGAGAGUCGAGAGAGAGAGAG
RNAcentral lists this long non-coding RNA (63040 nucleotides) under Daucus carota (carrot). RNAcentral describes it as "long non-coding RNA (DCAR_LNC000411)". The record is from RNAcentral. Lineage: Eukaryota; Viridiplantae; Streptophyta; Magnoliopsida; Apiales; Apiaceae.